RNAcentral lists this long non-coding RNA (74287 nucleotides) under Malus domestica (apple). RNAcentral's name for it is "long non-coding RNA (MDOM_LNC009765)". Lineage: Eukaryota; Viridiplantae; Streptophyta; Magnoliopsida; Rosales; Rosaceae. The record is from RNAcentral.
UUUUUUUUUUUUUUUUUCAGUUAAUUAUUUAGUUUUACAAAUACCUAUGCAUGUGCCCUAGUUAGUAUUUCCUACCCCCGUAAAGUAGAUUUGGUCUCUCUAUCGAGCUCUCUCUCUAUAGUUCAUUCCUUACAGAUUUAUGUUCGAACUUUCAGUGCAUCAUCCGGAUUAUCACUCCAAAAGGCUUCUUUUUUCUUCUUUUUUGUCUUUUUAUCUUUUUUGAAGCUCCACAGAGUUAUUUUGUAUCAUAUUAAUCCAAUGAUCAAGUUCAACUAUCUAUUUUCAUAUCCCCAUUUAUCAUAUAUUAUUUACAUACAAGUAAGAAAAAUUAGUGAUCAUACAAGCAUAACUACACACCGGGCUAUGUUUAAGUGUGUUUCUUAUACAAGCAUUACUUAUUCUAGACUAAUCUAAACUGCGGGAAAGAAAAUUCAAAAUCGAGUACAUAAAGAAAGCACAUAAGCUCUAACUAAUAUGACUGCGACUAGUGCCAUCGUUUGCUGCUAAGUUCAAGUGUUUUAAUUAAUUAAGAGGUUCCUUUUCCCACUUCCUCUCCAUCUUGCAUUAAUUUACAUGGUUUUUAAUGUUGCAAAAGGUUCCUAAUUCUCAGCCAAGAACAACUAUUUGAAGCAAUAUAGCUCUAAAAGCAGUAUUAAAUCAGCUUAGAACCAUGUUUUUCCCUAAAACCUAUUAAGAAAAUGGCCAGCCCACUAUUUCAAAGUUUUUGAGAUUAAACUUGCCACAAGCAUCUAUCAUCAAAUGGAAGAAUGCAGACUCAACUCCAUCACACCCAUGGACCACCUUUGUUUUCUCUCUCUACUCUCUCUCCCUCUCCUUCUAGAGAAUUAGCCAAAUUGCAAUUUGGCCCCCAUCACCAUUCCCUUUAACAAUUAAUAUCUUUGAGGUUUGACCAACUUAAUGGUCAAAUAAAAUACAUCUUUACUAAGCCUCUGUUGCCUUUGCACAUGGAUAGAAGCCACAAAACCCUCCAUGAAAAUUACAGUUAAGUCUUCUCUGUAAAGCAAUACCUAAAAAGGGUUCAAAACUUUUGCCUUUUGGAGUGAUAAUUUGUAAUGUUGUACAAUAUAUAGAUACAUAUAUUUUGAAUAACUUUUUUUUUUCCGAUUAAUUGAUGUUAUAUAUUGUCAUAUUAUGAAUAUGAAUUGUAAAUUUACUACUCGUGUCUAAAUAUUCUAAUAGGCGUAUGCAACUCUUGGUGAAAAAUGUUAGAGCGUGCAAACAGGCAUAGUUUUCACUGUUAAUUGCCCUCUCAUUAUAGACACUAUGAUUAACAAACGAAAACAGCAUUUGGAGAAGGAAAAAUAAGUAUACAUGUAAGUGGCAAGAAAAAGUAACGAGGUGAAUCCACGUUUAUAAAAGUCAUGCCAGUAUGCUACUAGCUACACAUGAUAACCUAUACCUGACUAUUGAGUCAUAAAUGAUAAACAUGUACGACCGAAUAUUCAAAUGUGAUUUCUUCAAAUAUAAUUUUUUAAGAGUAAUUUUACUUUAAUUUCAGUCCGCAAGACUUGAUUACAUAAAGACAGAGUCACGUUAUUCCCACUCUAAUGUCUUAUCUCUUCAUCUAUUUUUUAAUAAAUUUUUUAAUUACAACUAUGCCUAUUUGUAAAAUGACUAAUAAAGACCUUAAAAGAUAUAAUAAUAAUAAUAGUAAGUUAUAUAUUUAUGCAGGUGUUUUUUAAUUUGUAUCUGGUUUGUAGAAAAAAGUAUGUGAUGUAAAACUUUUUUUCUUAAUAUGAAACAAUCAUUUUCUUAUGUUAGAUGAAGCAGAUGAAAUUAAUUCCAUCACGAUCAUGUCCUUAAUUUUAGUUUUAUAUAUUAUUUGUUUAUAUUCUUUUUUUCUAAGAGACAAGUUUAUAAAUUUAGAUAUAUUAGAGGUUAUUUUAGAAAUAAUAGGCUAAGGAAAUAAUAUUUCAAUUGUUUGACUUUUUAUAGCGGGUGAGAUUAUAAUGUGAAUGAAAAAAAUAAGACGCUUGUUUUGGUUGGUGAUUUAUAAUACUCUCAAAAGAUAAUUCUAAAAAUAUUUAAAAACUCGUUAAUCUAAAAAGGCAGAUUUGAAAGUUUCUGUCUUUGGAAACCAGUAUCAUACGAGCCUACCAUACACAAUCUUAGGAAGGAAAGAAUUUCUAACAGGAUGCAUGCUUCCCCUCUCAUUUAUAUAUUUCUGCUUUUUUCUGUGGCGGUGGCAAGAUACACUUUAGAAAUGCCCUAAUUAGUCUAAUAUGAAGAAGGCACUCGGACUUGGUCGCUUAAGAGGAAUACAAUAUUAGUAACUUGAAAAUAGUCAGAAUGAUACAAUUGCCCACACGGAAAUAAGCAGAGUUUGCAUCUUUUAUUAUAGACACCAUGAUUAACAAAAGAAAACAACAUUGAGAGAAGGAAAAAUAAGUACUUCCCAGAAGGGAAUUAAGUACAUGACGGGAACCAUUAAAGUGAGAUUUGCCUAAGGAGAAUAAUGUUUUGACUUCGAGGUGUGACAACUGAAAGUGCCAAGACAUGUUUUUCCGAAAACGGCUAUAGUGAUACCUUAAAGGCAUAACAUGUGAAGAUAGGUAGAUAGAAGCUAUCUUUAAAGGGAAACUAACUUCAUGUUCUUAUUUCUUAAACUACAUAUACUAUAUAGCAGCUCACAUCACUUGACUCAUGAAAAGUUCUUCUGUUCCUUCCUAAUCCACCAUCUUGCGCACGCAGUGGAGCCUAGUAACUGCCCUCAACCAUCCUCGUGUCUCAUCGUAAUCCACAAAUGCUUCCCUGGUAUACACGGUUAAGCCAUUGUUACUGGCAUGCAUCACAUAAUCCUCCUGGCCGAUGUGGCCGUCCUGAUUGUUUCCCGGCAACUCUAGAAUGCAAUUAUCCAGAUGUUCUAAGGACUCGAAUUUCCUCCUAGGAUAGUAGACAUAAGUAGCCCCAUUGAUCUCAAACCGUACAUCUCCAACUACAUUUUGCCGAUAAAGUGCUUGUACACAUUGCAAACGGUCCCUCACUGCGAGCCACCCUUCUCUUAUUGCAUCCUCCACCCUCAUUAGAGUGUUUUGACGAUAUCGGCCUUGCCCUUGCCCUUGCCUCAUGACAAAAAAUACUUCAUGUAUUGGGCUGACUCCUUUAUGGCCGUCUACAUCGUCAACACUCAGAACCUGCUGCACAAACGACGCAACAGAGCUGUAAUCGUCCAAGUCAAACGAGUUGAUGUAUGAGAGCUCAUCCAGAUUAUCAAUUUCCUUCAUUAGAUCAACUACUGGCCUGCUUCUACCUCGCCUCUGGCCAUGUUGUAGACGCUGUCUACCUCUGCCCCAUGUAGGCCCUCCUCUGUCGCCUCUGCAGCCACCCCCUUGAGCCAAUUGCGCUGCUUUAGGGGCGGCAAUAGGGGCUCUUCCUCUCAUAGCUCUCUGGAACUGGCCUUGGCGUUGGCCUCCGUGGCUACUAGAAUGUCUCUUAAAAUUUUGGUUCUGCAUGAGCAAGUCCUGAGCAGGGCCAGGUUUUACAAUCAUUGUGGUGCAUAAAUAUAUAAACAGUAUCGAGGACUGAGACAAUAUAAAAUGAACAUAAGAAAAGAUGGAAGAAAAUGCAGACAGCAUGAAACGGCCUUUUUCUAGUAUCAUUGCUGCAGAACUGGUUUAACCAAACCAAGCACUGCACUCCAUAUAAAGCUGAGUAAUGCUAGAAAGACUAAAUUUGGAGACUAAAAUUGCAAACUAAAUGAUGUGUCACCAAUAGAAAUGAGCACGUCUAUUAACGUUUAAGUAACAUCAACUUCCAUAUCCUUUAGUUUUUAAAAUUUAGUCUCCUUAGCAUUACCCUUUCCUUUUUAUCUAUAGGGCUCAUAAGUAAUUGUCAAGAUCACUAAGCUAUACAUACCACAUGCCUUAGUCAGUGACCCUUGUAAUUAGUCAACAAAAUAUACCACUUACUGUUAAUGAGAUGAUGAGGAAUAUUCAGUAAUCUAGCUAGUAGUGCAAUUUUUUGAUCUUAUAUGGCUGCCACAUAUCAUGUAAUUUCUUGUUUCAAUUCGUUUGAGAAUGUCGAGAAUUAUGGUUUGGAUCAAGGUAUUAAAUAUCGAUGAUAUCGGAAAUAUCGGUAGUCCAAAAACACGGAAAAUUCGAUGGAAAUAUCGGGAUAUUAUCGAUAUCGAUAAAAAUUGAAUAAAAACCACGGAAAUUGUAAGAAAAACUUGGAAAUUUUUAUUGAAACUUUGCAGGAUGUUUAUUUAGUCAAUUAUCUAUAAGUUUAUCACAAAAAAUUGGAAGGAAAUGCAUUGCAUGAUAGAUAUAACUGAUUUAAGUUGAUUAUAUAGCGAGUUGGCAAACAUUGUGAGGGUAGAAAAUAUGUAGUAAUUAAUGAAAGAAGUUUAAACACACCAUAAUCAUUUAUAGAUAAUGAAUUAGUACAAUAUUUUACACUUUAUACAUUGCAUGGUAAGAUACAUGAGUGACUUAGCAAGGUCUAAAAUAUCGAUGAUAUCGGAAAUAUCGGUAGUCCAAAAACACAAAAAUUUCAAUGGAAAUAUCGGGAUAUUAUGCAUAUUUUAGACCGUGGUUUGGAUGAAUGUCGUUGGUAUAAGCACGUCCAAAAGUUUAUAAAAAAUUCAACUUCCUUCCUUCUUGAAACUAUUUUAUGAAAAAGAACCUAUGAUUUAUGUAUUUCUUUAUAAAACAUUAAAACACUAUUUCAGAAUUAAAAAAAAAUACUUUUGUAAUAAGUGAAAAUUUUAAUUACAUAUUUUUGAAUCAAUUAUUCAAUUUUGUUUUUAGAUGAAAAUUUUAAAUUCAUUAACUUUUGUGAUAAAGUUAUAUAAGAAGAAAAAAAAAUGUAACACAAUUAAUCUGUGUUAUAGGUAGAUUAUGAACAAAAACAUUUGGCAUAGGUAGAUGGACAAUUAAAUGUAUAUUCUACCUAUAAGCAAGAUUGAAACCUAACUACAAUAAACAAAAAUAUAAUACAUGCAAAUAAGAUACAUUAACCAGUGAUACAUGUUAAUUAUAAAUAUAAAUCUUUUAUAUAGGUAGAUAAAUAUAAGCAACACGAUUAUAAAAAAAAAAUUAUAAAUGGGGUUUGGAAUAGAAGAACAAAAAUAACAAAAAAAUGAAAUAAUUAAAGAGAUAAUUAAAAAGAAAUUAAUUUGUUAUAAUAAAUCUUAUCAAUAAAUAAUACUUAUUGAUAAUAAAAUAAUCCUAAAUUUAAGAGAUUGGUUAUUUUAAGAAACUGGAUUAUUCCUAAUAUUGGUUAAAAAAAUUAGACUUAUUUUAAAAAACUUGACUAUUCCUAAUAUAGGCAUCCAGAUCUGUUGCCCUCCUUGAUUGUUGGUUUGCUUUGCUAUUCUCUUCUUUCCUAUAUUCCCAGGUGUUUCCAACAGCAUCCGAUUUAAAUUUGCACUCUAUUUAUAGUACGUCUUUUUGAUUCAUCAAGCGCCGUGGUUUAGGUUAGGGAAUCUGGAUCUUUUAGUGAGGGUUUCAAUAAAUUUAAAAUCGUGUCUGUUAAUUGUACAUCGUGCGAUCACAAAUUAUUUUAUUUUAUUUUAUUUAAAAUUAAACACAAACAGUAUAUAAUGAAAACUGACCGCAUGAUAUAUGAUGAACAAAUACAAUUCACUGACUCUGAAAUUAUCAUGAAGAGAAUUCGGAGAUUAUCCUGUUGGUAGGUUGGGGGGUGGACCAUGAUGCAUGAAUUUCACAUGCAAUUAUUACUCAACCAUUGCUAGAUAAUUGUUCGGCCUUCUCACCACAUGGGUAAUGCUAGGUAUAUCUCAAUUUCUUAUACUAUAUUUAAAAAUUAUGGUAGGUGGAGUGAAAAAUUAAGACACUUGGUUCUGUUGGUGGGAAAGGGAUCCAUCAAAUUCAUUAAGUUUGGGAUCCGGAUCGUAGAAUUUUAAUCCAACAGGUAUAGUUAUUAUAACUUUUAAAGGAAUUUCCUAUUUAUAACUGUUUGAUCAAAUUUGAACAGUUUUGAUCCCGAACUUUUAAUGAAUUUGGUCCUGUUGGUGAUUUACAAAACUUUCUAUAGAUAAUUCUAAAAAUAUUUAAAAAAAUCAUUAAUUGUAGGCCACCACACAAUCUCUCUGAAAUUGCAGAUACAAAAAGUACUUAUGCUAAUAGCCAAAGGACAGAACCAUAGUAGCCUCACACACUCUUAGAAAGGAAACAAUUUAUAUUCAACAACCAUCGAUGAAAAGGACCUCACCAGCACAAUCAUUUAGUGCAGAAAGAAAGUAACAUUUUUGCUCAGUAUUAUUAUUACAGUGUAUGAUAGUUAUAUACGUAAUUAUUUGUCACGUGUUUUUUUUAUGUAAUUUUAGUUAACUUUUAUAUAAAAUGAAUAUUUUUAAUUUUGAAAAAAAAUUAACCAAACUUGAAACUUGAAAAGCAUUGAGUAGAGUUCAGGUUUUCUACUGUUAUAGAGGACCUCUUUUUAUCCAAGAAUAUUAUGGGUCUUGCUGUUAUAAAAAGGGUUUUUUAGAUAUAGAUCAUUGUAAUUUUUAUUUUUUAGGCAAAAACCCACCUAGUUUUAAACUUCAAAAUAAAACUCAAAUUUAAAAAUGACUGCCAAGUAGAAAAAUAAUUGAUCUAUUAUUACAAGAUAUUUACAACUUGUACCACAAUAUUCAAAAUAAAUCAAUAAAUGUGAUUAUUCACCUUAAUUACAAUGAACAAAUAGUUAUUACACAUAUUAUUACCCCUAACAUAUAUAUAUAUACACACACACACACAGACACGUUCAAAUAUACAUAGUACUACCAUAAGCAAGUUCAAAUGUACAUAGCACUACCAUAAGCUCAAUAUAUAUAUAUAUAUAUAUAUUCAAACAUAUUAUAAUAAUUAAUCUACCUACAUAUAAAUUUAUGAUGAGCAACUAACAUAUAUAUACACAUGCGCAUGCAGUACUAUAUCUCCUUCCACCAGGUUCGACGGAAUUAAUCUGUGAUCUCAGACCCAUUUUUCUAUGCUGCCAAUCUAUCUUUCAUUAUCCACCCAAAUCGACUUUGGUGAAAGUGUAUACAAUUUUCAGUCAUUGAGGGUCAAAGGGAUCGAUAUUACUUAUUUUAUGUUGAUCUGUCUGAGUAUUCAGAUUGGAGGUUUUGGGGUACAGUCAUUAAGGAGAACUUCAUGUUGGGGCGACGGUUGGGAAGGUAGAUCUGCUUAAUGACGGAGGAGAAUGGAGGAGAAAGGUUCCUAGUUGAGAACAAUUGUUAGAAAGACGAAGACUAGGAGCACCAGUUUAUCUGGGGAUGAGAAAUGAAGGAAAAAUAAAGGGAUUAACUUUUGGGUAUUCAUGGUGAGUUAGUUCCAAAUCCAGAAGAAGAAGAAGAAGACAGGGUGAGGAAGAGAGGGAAAUUAUUGUUAAAUUGUAAAUGCAUACAACAUGUGAAAUCCAUACCUCGAAGAACUGGAAUAGACUGGAGAGAGCUAGAAACCAAUCCACCAGAACGAACAAAUGCCAGAGCUAUUAGGGGUUUUUAUUUGCAAACUGUGAGAGAGCUAGAGAGAAGCAGAAUGCAGAAAGAGGAGAAGCUAAAGGGGUUUUUAUACGCAGCAGACUGAGGGGAGAGCUUUGUUUUUUUUUGGUGGGGUUUUUAUACGCAGCACACUGAGGUUUAUACGCAGUACACUGAGGGGAGAGCUUUGUAUUUUUUUGGUGGGGUUUUUAUACGCAGCACACUGAGGUUUAUACGCAGUACACUGAGGGGAGAGCUUUGUUUUUUUUUUGGUGGGGUUUUUAUACGCAGCAGACUAAGUGGAGAGCUUUGUUUUUUUUUGGUGGAAAGUUGGGUUCUGCUAUAUUUUCACACUCCACCCUUUUUUAGUUUGUCCUUAUGUGGAAAUAUCUAACGUAUCCCUAUCCCAUCAAUUAACGUGGAGCCUGACUUUUUUGUGGUUGCAUCGUUUGCCUUUUGUGGUUGCAUCGUUCGCCUUCAAGCACACCCAUUCUUAUUAAUAACUUGACUUUUUUGUGGUUGCAUAGUUCGUUCGCCCCAAGCACACCCAUUCUUAAUAAUAACUUGACUUUUUUGUGGUUGCAUCGUUCGCCUUCUAGCACCAUUGGCCUUUUACAUAAAGUAGUGAUGCGGUAUUUGUUAGUUAUGACUGUUGAUUGAUUGAAUGAUUAAUUUAUCUGGGCGUGUGAGUGGAGGAUUUGGAUUCUCUUGGUUGAUGUAGGAUUCUCUCUUCUCUUUUUUUUUCCCUUCCUUUCCAUUAUAUUCGAACAAUCACGGUUAAGUCACGUCAACAUCUUAUAUUAAUUUUUUAUAACAAAAGAAAGACAAAAUAAGAGAAUGUGCAAGGAAUGAUAGAAAAUGAUGGAAAGAGGAAAGAAGAGAAUCCUAGUCCCUCUUAGUCUUCUUGGCACGUUCAGUUUUUUCCUUGUUUUUCUAAUCAUUUCUUCAUUUUUUUUUCUUUUCCAGUUUUUUCUUAUUUAUCUAUCUUUUCCUGAUCUGUUUAAUGUUAUUUUACAAAACUACAUUUGGAGAUGAUGAAUCAAUUUUUCACAUUAGUCUUGAAUUUUUUUUAAGGACUUUUAUGUCUUAUUAUCUUCUGACGAAGCCUUGUGACUCUAAAAUAAGGUCCUGACUUUCAAACAGCAAAAAUUUGAUUUAGUUUAUCAUUAUCAUAUAUUAGCCCUCUACGCGGACGGGUAAAAAUGAAAUUAAAUUAGAAACACCUAUUUAUUAGAGAGAGUACCAGCGAGGGUGAGCAACAUGAAAAACAAGAAAAGCUAUCGGGACCACCGCGUGUGAGUUGAGCAGAAUAAGAAACAAGAAACUAAAAAGCCGAUUCGAGGUCUCAUUUUCCUUGUAGUAACUAACACUGCGUCGGCAACAAAAUUUGCUAUCUUCUUAGUCUUGCUAAUAUAGUGUUAAUUUCGUGAGCACGUGUCUUCCUGACCAUGUUUGUCUACAGCCCAAGUUCCAAAUCCCACAGUCCUAAUUUCGUGAGCACGUGUCUUCCUGACCAUGUCUACAGCCUACAAAACAUUAAUUCAUCCAAAAAUAAAAAGACAUAUAUAAACGUCAAAAUUAUUAAGUGUCACGAAAAAUAAAUCCCAAAUUUUGUUAUAGAUUCGUAUUAAUUAGCUUGAUUGCAAAAGACUCAUAUGUACCAAGUUUCGUUGCACUAAUAUUAGAUCACAUAAGAAAUUCCAAGAAGCAAUUCAAGAUCGAAGUUGACGAUAUAAUCUCAUUUUAUUUUUAUGGAUGAGUUACUUUGCUAGCUAGCUUUCCAGUACUUUUGCAUGCUAUUACAGUUGUUUCAUAUUUAUCGAAUAUGAUAUGGAGCAUCACUUGGAGAUGUAACGGUAGCGCAAACAACAAAGUUUAUUUAUUUAAUUAUUUUUUUAACAAAUGAUAUUAUCUAUACUAAGGGGAGAGGGUGGGCUUAACCUCACAAUGAGCUAGCAAUAAUAUGGUAUAAACUCGCAUUUGGCGAGAAUCGAACCUGAGACUUCUCACUUACAAGUGAAGAGGAAUACCACUAGACCGUAAUACUAAAUAGCAACAACAAAGUUUAAUUGCCUGCUAUGUUUACCUUAUCAUGUUAUUUUUUUUGUUUCAAUUCGUCUGAGAAUGUGAAGAAUUUUAGUUUGGAAAAGAAACAUACAAGACAACCAUUGUUGCCGACCAUGGCCAUAUACGAGCAUUGUCUAAAAAUAAAGAUUUAGGUUAAAGCAAAAAACAUCUAUAUUUACAUUAUUUUUUUUUUGUCAAACAAGGCAGCUAUAAUUUCUACUCACUGGUUACAAUUUUACAUUCACAUCUUGUUAGGCCAUUUAAAAGAAUGAAUGUAGUGCGGGGUGCCGAGACGGAUCAUAUAUGAUUACUUUAUCAAGGGGAAUGGCAUCUUCCUUUUAGACACUGAUUAACAAAGAAAACAACAUUAACAGAAGGAAAAUUAACUGCUUCUGAAAAGGGAAUUACAUGGCGGGAACCAUUGAGUUUUCCUAUAUCAUAGUGUUUUGCCUUCAGGUGUAGAAAAUUGAAAGCGCGUUGCACGAUUCCAUAGUUUAAAGUCAUAACAAAAUAGGUGCACGAUUUCAUCUUUUUGAAAGUCAUAACAAGAUUUGAUUAAGCAUGUUGCCCUCUUAGAGCAUCUCCAGUGGAAUCCCUAUAUAGGGACAAAUGAACCUCCAAUGAAUCGAAAAGUGAGUUUCUAAAGUAUACGGACUCGUCGGAUACUUAGUCUAUGUACCCAUAUGUAGGGACUCUAUAGAGACUGAAAUGGUGGACCCGAUAGGACAAUUGAAGUGAAAUGGUAGGCGUGGGUCCUAGUCACAUGGCCUUGCAUUUUUUUUUCUCUUUCUUUUCAACCGUUUAAAGUGGAGGGUCUUGAUUGAUUCUUGCUUUUCAAAUUUGUUACCAUUGAAAGAUCAACGGUUCUAAUUAAAUAACUAUUUCAAUUUAGGUUACUCUCUCAUGUUGGUUUUCAAUUUUAUUUUUCUCUUUUCUUAUUGCCUCCAUUGAAAGAUUAACAGUUUCAAUUUGGAUUACUCUCUCAUGUUGUUCUCUCAUCAUUCCUAUAAUCACCAUAUUAUCUAACCAAAACUUACCGCAACUUCAUCUCCUUACAAGAACGUAAUGUUAAAUUAAUUCAAAAAAAUGUUAACAUAAAUAAGAAAUGUGCACCUAAUCAAAUUAUCACAUAAAAUUGUAAAAACCUCAAAUUUAGGGAUUCUACUAUAAGGACUCUCUUAUUGGAGACAAUAUUCCUUUAGGGACAUAAAGAUUCCCUUUUAAGUCUUUAAACGAGUACUCAAAUGUGGUGGUGGGAGUCCCUAAAUAUAGACUCCCAUUGGAGAUCCUCUAAGAUAGGUGCUACUCAUGCUUAACUUCAUCUCCCCCCCCCCUAAUUUUCUAGUUUAGUUUUUUUUGGAAUUUUCAAAAUUUAAGAUUCAUAAUGCUAAUUUAAAUUCAGCAUAAUAAUCUUCAUUUUGUUGGUUGAAUGUCUUACAAAAAUGCACCGAUGUGUUUUUUGGGUUGUUUGGAAGUGCUUUUAAUAGAAACAAUGACACACCCAACCUCGAUAUCCUCCAAACACCAUGGUAGGCAUGUGAUGGCCAACACACGAAGGCGAUGAAGCCAUAUUAACAUGCAUGUAGGUUAUGAAGAAAUAACAAAUGUAAAUAAAACAAGUAAAUUUCACUAAUAAAGAAUAUGCAUAUGUGGGAACAUGUUCAGAGCAUACAACUAAUUAAGAAUACUGUUGAAGAAAUACUAUAAGGUACGAACAAAGGAAUGAGUCAUACACCGAGAGGACUCGAAGAUACUGAUGUUGGAGUGCCUUGACGCCAGGAUAGUACGCCUUGAUUCUAAGUCCUGAAGGGGGCGCAAAACAAAGCAUGAGUGGACCAAGUUUACAUACUAACCCCCAGUUUUAGAAAACUCAUAUAGCUAAUAAGUAAUAGGUUUUCCGAAAACCUUAGCAUGCCAUAAAACUUUCAUAAAACAUAUAUCGUAUAUAGUGUGCUUAGUAGUGGUGUCACAAUCGCCCGAAGGCCCUACACCGUCCGCCCGAAGGCAUAUAUAAAUAUUCCGCCUAAAGGCCCUACAUUGCACGCCCGAAGGCAUAUAUAAAUCUUCCAGCCGAAGGCACUACAUCGCCCGCCCGAAGGCAUAUACAAAUCAUUCGCUCGCAGGCACUACACCGCCCGCCUGAAGGCACAUAUAUCAUUUGUCCGAAGGCAUAUAUAAAUCAUUCGUCCGUAGACACAACAUCGAAAGAAAACCCUAAUUUUCGAUUUUUGCUAUCUCUUUCGGUGUUUGAAAUUUUGCAGACAUGGGACUCCUACGACGACCAUUCGUUGUGAAGGUUUCAUAUCCUGGUCCUGACUUUGCUGCUGGUUAUGAUGGUGUGUUGAUUUAUUUGUUUUAUAUUCUUUGGUUUCGUUUUUGGUGUUUUAUUUCUGUUGUUUAUGCAAAUAAUAUCCAUCUUCUGUUGUUUUAUGUAUCUUGUGGGAUUUUUAUUUUUGAUCCAACUGUUUUGCGCUGGAUUGGAUGGAGUUGUAUCUACUUAGUUUUUGUUUUGAACUUUCAAGCAUCAAAGUAAUCUGGCUGGGUGGGUGUUUGCAUUGUUUUUUUUUUUUUUUUCAGUUAAUUAUUUAGUUUUGCAAGUACCCUUGCAUGUGCCCUAGUUAGUAUUUCCUACCCCCGUAAAGUAGAUUUGGUCUCUCUAUCGCGCUCUCUCUCUAUAGUUCAUUCCUUACAGAUUUAUGUUCGAACUUUCAGUGCAUCAUCCAGAUUAUCACUCCAAAAGGCUUCUUUUUUCUUAUUUUUUGUCUUUUUCUCUUUUCUGAAGUUCCACACAGUUAUUUUGUAUCAUAUUAAUCCAAUGAUCAAGUUCAACUAUCUAUUUUCAUAUCCCCAUUUAUCAUAUAUUAUUUACAUACAAGUAAGAAAAAUUAGUGAUCAUAAGCAUAACUACACACUGGGCUAUUUUUAAGUGUGUUUCUUAUACAAGCAAUACUUAUUCUAGACUAAUCUAAACUACGGGAAAGAAAAUUCAAAAUUGAGUACAUAAAGAAAGCACAUAAACUCUAACUAAUAUGAUUGCGACUAGUGCCAUCGUUUGCUGCUAAGUUCAAGUGUUUUAACUAAUUAAGAGGUUCCUUUUCCCACUUCCUCUCCAUCUUGCAUUAAUUUUACAUGGUUUUUAAUGUGCAAAAGGUUCCUAAUUCUCAGCCAAGAACAACUAUUUGAAGCAAUACAGCUCUAAAAGCAGUAUUAAAUCAGCUUAGAACCAGGUUUUUCCCUAAAACCUAUUAAGAAAAUGGCCAGCCCACUAUUUCAAAGUUUUUGAGAUUAAACUUGCCACAAGCAUCUAUCAUCAAAUGGAAGAAUGCAGACUCAACUCCAUCACACCCAUGGACCACCUUUGUUUUCUCUCUCUACUCUCCCUCUCCUUCUAGAGAAUUAGCCAAAUUGCAAUUUGGCUCCACAUCACCAUUCCCUUUAACAAUUAAUAUCUUUGAGGUUUGACCAACUUAAUGGUCAAAUAAAAUACAUCUUUACUAAGCCUCUGUUGCCUUUGCACAUGGAUAGAAGCCACAAAACCCUCCAUAAAAAUUACAGUUAAGUCUUCUCUGUAAAGCAAUACCUAAAAAGGGUUCAAAACUUUUGCCUUUUGGAGUGAUAAUUUGUAAUGUUGUACAAUAUAUAGAUACAUAUAUUUUGAAUAACAUUUUAUUUUCCGAUUAAUUGAUGUUAUAUAUUGUCAAAUUAUGAAUAUGAAUUGUAAAUUUACUUAACUCGUGUCUAAAUAUUCUAAUAGGCGUAUGCAACUCUCGGUGAAAAAUGUUAGAGCGUGCAAACAGGCAUGGUUUUCACUGUUAAUUGCCCUCUCAUUAUAGACACUAUGAUUAACAAAAGAAAACAACAUUUGGAGAAGGAAAAAUAAGUAUACAUGUAGGUGGCAAGAAAAAGUAACGAGGUGAAUCCACGUUUAUAAAAGCUAUGCCAGUAUGCUACUAGCUACACAUGAUAACCUAUACCUGACUAUUGAGUCAUAAAUGAUAAACAUGUACGACCGAAUAUUCAAAUGUGAUUUCUUCAAAUAUAAAUUUUGAAGAGUAAUUUUACUUUAGUUUCAGUCUGCAAGACUUGAUCACUUAAAGAUAGAGUCACAUUAUUUUCAUUUUAAUGUCUUAUCUCUUCAUCUAUUUUUUAAUAAAUUUUUUAAUUACAACUAUGCCUAUUUGUAAAAUGACUAAUAAAGACCUUAAAAGAUAUAAUAAUAAUAAUAAUAGUAAGUUAUAUUUUUAUGCAGGUGUUUUUUAAUUUGUAUUAUGUUUGUAGAAAAAAGUAUGUGAUGUAAAACUUUUUUUCUUAAUAUGAAACAAUCAUUUUCUUAUGUUAGAUGAAGCAGAUGAAAUUAAUUCCAUCACGAUCAUGUCCUUAAUUAAUUUUAGUUUUAUAUAUUAUUUGUUUAUAUCCUUUUUUCUAAGAGACAAGUUUAUAAGUUAAGAUAUAUUAGAGGUUAUUUUAGAAAUAAUAGGCUAAGGAAAUAAUAUUUCAAUUGUUUGACUUUUUACAGCGGGUGAGAUUAUAAUGUGAAUGAAAAAAAUAAGACGCUUGUUUCGGUUGGUGAUUUAUAAUACUCUCAAAAGAUAAUUCUAAAAAUAUUUAAAAACUCGUUAAUCUAAAAAGGCAGAUUUGAAAGUUUCUGUCUUUGGAAACCAGUAUCAUACGAGCCUACCAUACACACUCUUAGGAAGUAAAGAAUUUCUAACAGGAUGCAUGCUUCCCCUCUCAUUUAUAUAUUUCUGCUUUUUUCUGUGGCGGUGGCAAGAUACACUUUAGAAAUGCCCUAAUUAGUCUAAUAUGAAGAAAGCACUCGGACUUGGUCUCUUAAGAGGAAUAUAACCUAUUAGUAACUUGAAAAUAGUCAGAAUGAUACAAUUGCCCAAACGGAAAUAAGCAGAGUUUGCAUCUUUUAUUAUAGACACCAUGAUUAACAAAAGAAAACAACAUUGAGAGAAGGAAAAAUAAGUACUUCCCAACUUCGAGGUGUGACAACUGAAAGUGCCAAGACAAGUUUCUCCGAAAACGGCUAUAGUGAUACCUUAAAGGCAUAACAUGUGAAGAUAGGUAGAUAGAAGCUAUCUUUAAAGGUAAACUAACUUCAUCUUCUUAUUUCUUAAACUACAUAUACUAUAUAGCAGCUCACAUCACUUGACUCAUGAAAAGUUCUUCUGUUCCUUCCUAAUCCACCAUCUUGCGCACGCAGUGGAGCCUAGUAACUGCCCUCAACCAUCCUCGUGUCUCGUCGUAAUCCACAAAUGCUUCCCUGGUAUACACGGUUAAGCCAUUGUUACUGGCAUGCAUCACAUAAUCCUCCUGGCCGAUGUGGCCGUCCUGAUUGUUUCCCGGCAACUCUAGAAUGCAAUUAUCCAGAUGUUCUAAGGACUCGAAUUUCCUCCUAGGAUAGUAGACAUAAUUAGCCCCAUCGAUCUCAAACCGUACAUUUCCAACUACAUUUUGCCCAUAACGUGCUUGUACACAUUGCAAACGGCCCCUCACUGCCAGCCACCCUUCUCUCAUUGCAUCCUCCACCCUCAUUGGAGUGUCUUGACGAUUUCGGCCUUGCCCUUGCCUCAUGACAAAAAAUACUUCAUGUAUUGGGCUGACUCCUUUAUUGUUGUCUACAUCUUCAACACUCAGAACGUGCUGCACAAACGACUCAACAGAGUCGUAAAUGUCCAAAUCGAACGUGUGGAUGUAUGAGAGCUCAUCCUGAUUAUAAAUUUCCUUCAUUAGAUCAACUUCUGGACUGCUUCUACCUCGCCUCUGGCCAUGUUGUCGACUCUGUCUACGUCUGCCCCGUGUAGGCCCUCCUCUGUCGCCUCCGUGGCCACCCCCUUGAGCCAAUUGAGCUGCUCCAGGGGCGGCAAUAGGGGCUCUUCCUCUCAUAGCUCUCUGGAACUGGCCUUGGCGUUGGCCUCCCUUGCUACUAGAAUGUCUCUUAAAAUUUUGGUUCUGCAUAAGCAAGUCCUGAGCAGGGUUACAAUCAUUGUAGUGGAUAAAUAUAUAAACAGUAUCAAGAACUGAGACAUAAAAUGAACACAAGAAAAGAUGAAAGAAAAUGCAGACAGCAUAAAACGGCCUUCUUCUAGUAUCAUUGCUGCAGAACUCGUUUAACCAAACCAAGCACUGCACUCUAUAUAAAGCUAGUUUUUUAUUUUUUAUUUUUUUUGAAACACACUAUAUAAAGCUAGUUUGAGGUAAAGUUAAGGACUUGAUUACACCUAGUGGCAAAACUUUUGUUUAUUUAGAUUAGGGAGUUGAGGAUUCUACUUUAAAACAAGAGAAAUUUAACGAAAAACGCAUGGUACUGUUCACUUUAACGAAAAAUCACAUUUUUACACUAAAAAGUCAAUCCUGGUACAAUUCACUUUACCCUUUAUUUUGUCCUUAUCGUUAAAACUCAAAGUUUUCAAACCAUUUUCAUUAGUUUUCCUUUUAAAACAAUAAAGAAGAAAGCCUACCAAAUUUAUCCCUCAUCGCUUCUAGUUGUGCGCGUUCAAUUUUACCUUUCCAAAAUUGUAAAGGACUAAACCGACAGUCUAAUCCAUUUGAAAUGAUGAUAGCUCAAAGCUACACAUACCACAUGCCUGACCAUUGUAACUAGUCAACAAAAUAUACCACUUACAGUUAAUGAGAUGAUGAGGAAUAUUCAGUAAUCUAGCUAGUAGUGCAAUUUUGUGAUCUUAGAAAUGAUGAUAUGUGAUAUAUGACUGCCACAUAUCAUGUAAUUUCUUGUUUCAAUUCGUUUGAGAAUGUCGAGAAUUAUGGUUUGGAUUAAUGUCGUUGGUAUAAGCACGUCCAAAAGUUAUAUAAAAAAUUCAACUUCCUUCCUCCUUGAAAGUAUUUUAUGAAAAAUAAACUAUGAUUUAUGUAUUUCUUUAUAAAACAUUAAAACACUAUUUCGGAAUAUAAAAAAAACUUUUGUAAUAUAAAUGUCAAAUAGUUAAAAUGAUUCACUUUUAAUAUUUGGUCAUUUUUGAUAUAACAUAUCAAUAACAUCAACGGCACAACUAUGAUAUAACAACGAAAUACUAAAAGUAAAUCAUUUUAACAACCGAAUGUCAAAAGUUGAUUAUUUCAGGAAAAAAAAACUCUAUAUAAAGCAAUUCGCACAUGGAAAAGUGACAUAUAAGAAAACCAUUUUUGUCUACCAUGACCAAAGGCCCCAAAUAGCCAUAUACGAGCAUUGUCUAAAAAUAAAGAUUUAGGGUAAUUAGCAAAAAACAGCUAUAAUUACUACUCACUCCCAAUCCGGCUUUUUUAAGGAUUAAAAAAAAUGAAAACUAAUGAAAAUAGCUUGAAAACUUUGAGUUUUAAUGAUAAGGACAAAAUAAAGGAUAAAGUAAAUAGUAUCAGGUUUGACUUUUUAGUGUAAAAAUGUGAUUUUUCGUUAAAGUGAACAGUACCGUGGGCUUUUCGUUAAAACUCCCUUAAAAAAAUUUAGAAGAAGGCAAGUGAUCAUUUACUACAGUGGUAGAAAGAUGUUGAGACCUUACAUAAUAGUGUGGGUUCAAAUCUCAUCGAUGAUUAAUUUAACAUCUAAUCUAACAAAAUCUAUCGUUUGACUAAAAAAAAUUCAGAAAAAGAAAAGUAUCUGUUGAAAUAAAAAAAUAGCACAAGCCAAGAAGGCAUCCAAAUCUGUUGCCCUCCUUGAUUGUUGGUUUGCUUUGCUAUUCUCUUCUUUCUUCCAACAGCAUCCGAUUUAAAAUUGCUCUUAUAUUUAUAGUACGUGUUUUUGAUUCGUCAAGCGCCGUAAUAUAUAUAUAUAUAUAUAUAUAUAUAUAUAUAUAUAUAUAUAUUGAAAAUCUUUGACACACAAUGCCACCUGACACACUCUUAGAAAGGAAACAAUUUAUAUUCAACAACCAUCGAUAUUACUUAUUUUACGUUGAUCUGUCUGAGUAUAUUCAGAUUGGAGGUUUUGGGGUACAGUCAUUAAGGAGAACUUCAUGUUGGGGCGACGGCUGGGAAGGUAGAUCUGCCUAAUGACGGAGGAGAAAGGUUCCUAGUUGAGAACAAUUGUUAGAAAGACGAAGACUAAGAGCACCAGUUUAUCUAGGGAUGAGAAAUGAACGAAAAAUAAAGGGAAUAACUUUUGGGUAUUCAUGAUGAGUUAGUUCCAAAUCCAGAAGAAGAAGACAGGGUGAGGAAGAGGGGGAAAAUAUUGUUAAAUUGUAAAUUUAUACAACAUGUGAAACCCGUACCUCGAAGAACUGGAAUACACCUGAAGAGAGCUGGAAACCAAUCCACCAGAAUGAACAAAUGCCAGAGCUAUUAAGGUUUUUAUUUGCAAACUGUGAGAGUGCUAGAGAGAAGCAGAAUGCAGAAAGGGGAGAGCUCAAGGGGUUUUAUACGCAAAGUGAAUGGAGAGGUAGUUCCUGCUAUAUUUUCAAGGAACAGGAGUGUUGUUAAUGAACAGUGUCGAUCAUGAACAGUGUCUGGGAUGAGACGGUUGGGAUGGUAGAUCUGCCUAAUGACGGAGGAGAAUGGAGGAGAAAGGUUCCUAGUUGAGAACAAUUGUUAGAAAGACGAAGACUAGGAGCACCAGUUUAUCUGGGAUGAGAAAUGAAGGAAAAAUAAAGGGAUUAACUUUUGGGUAUUCAUGGUGAGUUAGUUCCAAAUCCAGAAGAAGAAGAAGAAGACAGGGUGAGGAAGAGAGGGAAAAUAUUGUUAAAUUGUAAAUGCAUACAACAUGUUAAAUCCAUACCUCGAAGAACUGGAAUGCACCUGGAGAGAGCUGGAAACCAAUCCACCAGAAUGAACAAAUGCCAGAGCUAUUAGGGUUUGCAACAGUAAGAGAGCUAGAAAAGCAGAAUGCAGAAAGAGGAGAGCUCAAGGAGUUUUAAAAGCAAACUGAGUGGAGCCGGUAGGUCCUACUAUAUUUUCCUACUAUAUUUUCCUACUAUAUUUUCUAGGAGCAUGUGCAAGAGAAAUUUUAAAUUGUGAAAAAUCUCUCCAGGGGCAAGGGUUGCUUGAACGUCUAGUUGACCUUAUUUGUGAAAAUCAAUUGUGUUUUUUAUGGAUAUUUUUUAAGGAAAAAUCUUCUUGUAUUAUUCAUUUUAAAGAAAAAUCGUAUUUUUAUAUUAAAAAUUCAAUUAUGAUACUAUUCAUUUUACUCUUUAUUUUGUCCUUAUAGUUAAAACUCAAAGUUUUUAAACAUUUUUCAUUAGUUUUAUUUUUAUUUUUUAAGAUUUACUUAAUUUGAUUUCACCUUACACUAUUAUUACCAUUACCAUGUUUACCUCUAUAUUAACAUGAAACAAGCACCCUAUAAUAGCCUUAUGAAUACAAUUAAAGUUACGUGGUGAAUGGAUGUAUGAGGUGUUAAUUCACUUGUUUGUUUUAACCUAUUCACCGUGAACUUGUGCCUACAUGAAUGACGGUACAAGUACAACCUCAAAAAGAGCUACACCCUUUUAUUUGUGGAGUAGGAUUCUCUACCUUCAUAUCAUAUUCUCAUCUCCUUCCAUCCCCUCCUCUUACUCAUUGUAUUUUGUUUUAUUAUUUCUAUAAAAAAAUUAAUAUAAAAUGUUAACGUGGUUUAACCGUGACCGUUCAAAUAGAAUGAGAUGUAAGAAUAGAGAGAUUAUGAGGGUAGAGAAUCCUACUAUUUUAUUUGUUACAAUGUCUUUAUAAUUUAAUGCAACUUGCUUGGGCAACAUCCUUUAAAAAUAAUCAAUAAAGUGCCAAAUUUCGUCCGAGUCAGAUGCUUGGACGUAUCUAGAAGAGGGAUAACAAUCAAUUCCGGGAGACCCCAACGACUCGCUUAGGCAACAUCCUUAAUAAUAUCUUGACUUUUUUAUUUGUUAGUUAGGAAUGUUGAUUGAUUGAAGGAUUAAUUUAUCUGGGCGUGUGAGGGGAGGAUUUGGAUUCUCUUGGACUUUAGCACUUUCCGUUUUUUCCUUGUUUUUCUAAUCAUUUCAUCAUUUUCUUUCUUUUCCAGUUUUUUCUUAUCUAUCAAUCUUUUCCUGAUUUGUACAAAACUACAUUUGGAGAUGAUGAAUCAAUUUUUCACAUUAGUCUUGAAUUUUUUUGAGGAUUUUUCACAUAAGAAACAAGAAACUAAAAAGCCGAUUCGAGGUCUCAUUUUCCUUGUAGUAACUAAUUUGCCAUCUUCUUAGUCUUGCUAAUAUAGUGUUAAUUUCGUGAGCAUGCAUGAUCACUAGCUUGUUUGUUUGCAAACAAAUAAUUGAUUUGAUUGCUCUUGGAUUCUUUUGUCGAGUCUUGUGAACUUCCUUAUUCGUGAGCACGUGUCUUCCUGAUCAUGUCUACAGCCCAUGUUCCAAAUCCCACAGUCCUAAUUUCGUGAGCACGUGUCUUCCUAACCAUGUAUACAGCCUACAAAACAUUAAUUCAUCCAAAAAUAAAAAGACAUAUAUAAACGUCAAAAUUAUUAAGUGUCACGAAAAAUAAAUCCCAAAUUUUGUUAUAGAUUCGUAUUAAUUAGCUUGAUUGCAAAAGCCUCAUAUGUACCAAGUUUCGUUGCACUAAUAUGGAGAAUCACUUGGAGAUGUAACGGCAGCCCAAUUGCUUGGACAAUUCAGGUCCACCAACUGCCACUUGGGGCCCUCUGAAGUCGGUAACACUCCCUUCUGUAAUAAAUAAUGUGACUUUUUUGUGGCAUGAUCAUUGUCCUACCGAGCAUGUACGGACGGAGGGAGGUAAGGCACAGUGGUGGCGCAUGCCCCCUCUCUUUUAAAAAAAAAAUAAAUAAAUUACAAAUUACAAAUUAUUCAAUUAAUCAUUCUCAUUUUUUUUGCUUUGCAAAUUAUUCAAUUAAUUAUAUUAAAAUAGUGAAAAUCAUCUUUUAGUUUUUAAAUGUCCCUCCAUCUUGGAUAUUUUUCUCACGCACUAAUGUCUAAACCUUGUUGAGUUGCAUGUAUUUGGUUAAUUAGUACAAAUGAGCAUUAUAUUGUCAACAAUUAAAGACAAAAUUAGACAAUAGAGUAAUAAAAUUAGGCAUUUUGUAAUUAAUUUUUUCAACAUUUGUAAAAGAACUAGCUUUAUUUGUCCAAAAAAGGAGCUCAAAAUUUUUAAAGUGCCCCCUCUUAGUUAAAUUUCUGGCUUCAUCCCUGCUACCAAGUACUAUUGAAUUUUUCCAUAAAGUAAUGAUGAAGUAUUUGUUAGUUAGGAUUAAUUUAUGGGAGUUUUAACGAAAAGUCCGCAAUACUGUUCACUUUAACGAAAAACCACAUUUUUACUCUAAAAAGUCAAACCUGAUACUAUUCACUUUACCCUUUAUUUUGUCCUUAUUGUUAAAACUCAAAGUUUUCAAGUUUUUUUCAUUAAUUUUCCUUUAAUUUAUCUGGCGGUGUGAGUAGAGGAUUUGGAUUCUCUUGGUCUUGGCACGUUCAGUUUUUUCCUUGUUUUUCAAAUCAUUUCUUCAUUUUUUUUUUCUUUUCCAGUUUUUUCUUAUUUAUCUAUCUUUUCCCGAUCUGUUUAAUGUUAUUUUACAAAACUACAUUUGGAGAUGAUGAAUCAAUUUUUCACAUUAGUUUUGAAAUUUUUUUAAGGACUUUUAUGUCUUAUUAUCCUCUAGCUCUCUAGCUCUCUAGCUCUCCUACAGCGAAAGAAUUCAACACAAACAUCGAGUACAAAAUUUUAUAUUUUAAAAUACCCAAUCAAUAUUCCUAUACGUAUUCCAAUGAGGGCCCACGAACCUGGUGGCUUGACAGGGAUCUGGAUUGUCUGUCCUCCCCAUCCAUCAUUUUUCCAUGCAUUCCUAUUUGAACGAUCACGUUAAAUCAUUUUAAUAUUUUAUAUUGAUUUUUUUUAUAGAGAUAAUAAGACAAAAAGCAAUGGGAAUAUAAAAUGUUGAUGUUGCUUAACCGUGACCAGUUCAAAUAGGAGGGCAUGAGAAUGGAAUGGGAUGGAGGAGGGCAGACAAUCCAGAUCCGCUUGAGAGGAAUACAACAUUAGUUACUUGAAAAUAGUGAGAUUGAUACAACUAAUAUAUAGUAACGGAGAGCUUUAAUGAAAAUAAUUUAAGCUAAGUUUAUUUUAAUAAAAAUUAUCCUAUGAUUUUAUUUAAUGCAAACGGCUUGAGAUUUAAUAAAAAUGACAUAAUACAAUAUGAUAAAGAAAAAAAUUUAAAUCUGCAUAACUAGAAUACAGGCUCCAUCCCAUCAAUUAACCCACUAUAUUAUUAAGGGUUGGUUUGGUAUUGUUGUGCUUUGAAAAAAAAACUGUUUUUGCUAUGCUGUGAGAAUAAACAGUUGUGAAAUAAAACAGCAGAUUGUUUGGUAAACUUUUUUGUAAAAGUGCUUUUGAAUAAUAAAAAAAAAAAGCAGUAUUAGCCUUUGUUUGGUACUGAGGUGAUUUUGAAAAAAAAUGGCUAUCAAAAAAAGCUUGAAGCUUUUUUAUGUUUGGUAAACAUUCAACUUUAGCUUUUUUUCACCGUUUUUGGUAAAAAGGCCAAAAACACAAAGCUGCAAAACCCAACUUUGAAAAAUCAGUUUUUUUUCACAUCUGUUUUACAUAAAAGUUUAUCAAACACUAUAAUACUGUUUUUUUUUUUCAAAAGCACUUUUACAAAAAAGUUUACCAAACAUUCAGCUGCUUUAUUUCACAUCUACUUAUUCUCACAGCACAGCAGAAUCAGUUUUUUUCAAAGCACAACAAUACCAAACCAGCCCUUAUAGUGUUUGAUAAACUUUUAUGUAAAACAAAUGUGAAAAAAAGCUGGUUUUUGAAAAGGUGGGUUUUGCAGCCUUUAUGUUUUUUGGCUUUUUUUCCACCAAAAACUGUGAAACAAAACUGAAGCUGAAUGUUUACCAAACAUAAAAAAGCUCCAAGCUUUUUUUGAUAGCCAUUUUUUUUCAAAAUCACCUCAAUACCAAACCAGGAUUCAACAUGAAUGUGAUGAAGCUUCCAAUGCUCCACCAUCCUUAGCCACUCUUUUCUUUGCAUGGGUCCUAACCAAGGUUAUGACAAAAAACAUAUAUAAUAUUUAUUUAAGAACUUUAACGAAAAAUUUUCGGUACUGUUCAUUUUAACGAAAAAUCAUAUUUUUACACUAAAAAGUCAAUCUUGGUACUAUUCACUUUACCUUUUAUUUUGUCUUUAUCGUUAAAACUCAAAAUUUUCAAGUUUUAUUUAUUUAUUUAUGUAUUUUAUAUUAAUAUAUGGGGAUUCCAUAUUUAAUUUAUUAUGUAUACUUGUGAACAUGAAUGUCAACAUGUAUAUACACUGUCUAUUUCCUUUCAUUGCAGAUGCAAGUUUGUGCAGAAUCGCAGUAUUUAUCAAAAUAUUCUAUGUUUUCUGAAACAAAAAUACAAACCAUAAUUUUGCAUGAGAGAGAGGAGAGAUAAGAGAGGACUGAAAACUUCAUGUAAUUCUCCCUGAUAUUAUUCAUGAAGUUGAAUUUCAUGUUGUUAUAUAUGCCAAAUCGAAAGUAUCCAUCUAUAGAUUCUACUAUUAAAUAGCAACAUAUAAGAUUACCAUUUUGUAGAAAAAGACGGACGAACGAUAUUCAAGAAUCAAGAUUGGGUUAUUUUGUCAAAACUCUCUUUAUUUUGUUCAUUUUCAGAAAUAGUGUGGGUUAUUUUGGUUCAAUUUCAUAAAUAGUGCUGGUUAGUUUGUUGUAGUUUCAAAAAUAGUGUGAGUUAUUUUGGUUCUGUUUCAGAAAUAGUGUGUGUUAUUUUGUUGUUGUUUCAUAAAUAAUGUUUAUUUUUUCCUACCAAAAAUAAUGUGUGUUAUUUUGAUUCAGUUUCAAAAAUGGUGUAGGCUAUUUUGUUGUAAUUCCAAAAAUAGUGUGGAUUAUUUUCGUUCAGUUUCAGAAAUAGUGUGAGUUAUUUUGCUGUACUUUUAGAAAUUGUGUGGAUUAUUUUGGUUCAAUUUCUGAAAUAGCUAGGUUAUUUUGUUGUAUUUCUAGAAAUAGUUUUGAUUAUUUUGGUUCUAUUUCAUAAAUAGUGUAAAUUAUUUUACUGUAGUUUCAGAAACAGUGUUUAUUUAGUGCCGUUUCAGAAAUAAUGUGGAUUAUUUUGGUUAUAUUUCAGAAAUAGUGUGGGUUAUUUUGGUUCUAUUCCAAAAAUAGUGUGGGUUAUUUUGUUGUUGUUCCAAAACUAGUGUGUAUUUUGUUCCCUUCCAAAAAUAGUGCGAGUUAUUUUAGUUCAGUUUCAAAAAUAGUGUUUAUUAUUUUGUUGUAGUUCCAAGAAUAGUGUGGAUUAUAAAGUCCUUAGAUUCCUGCAAAUUGCAAUAUCCACCGUCAUGUGCAACUCUUUUUUUUUUCUUUACAACUUAUGAAAUUUAUGCAUCUAAUACUAAUAAUAAUAAGCUAUACAACUUAUCUUCCCCAAUUAUAUCCAACUAUAUGCUUUGCCAUUUUUUAUUGAUUUGAAAACAAUUUAAUAUUUUUUGUGGAUUUUCAAUGGCAUUUUUGUUAAUGGAUUUGUGCUAAAACAUUAAUUCAUCCAAAAACAAAUAGACAUGUAUAAACGUCAAAAAUAUUAAUUGCCACGAAAAAUAAAUCCCAAAUUCGUUAUAGAUUCCUAUUAAUUAGCUUGAUUGCAAAAGACUCAUAUGUAAGUUUCGUUGCACUAAUAUUAGAUCGCAUUCCAAGAAGCAAUUCAAGAUCGAAGUUGACGAUGAGGAGGUGCAUAAUCUCAUUUUAUUUUUAUGGAUGAGUUACUUUGCUAGCUAGCUUUUCAGUACUCUUGCAUGCUAUUAAAGUUGUUUCAUAUUUAUCGAAUAUGAUAUGGAGCAUCACCUGGAGAUGUAACGGUAGCGCAAACAACAAAGUUUAUUUAUUUAAUUUUUUUUUAACAAGUGAUAUUAUCUACAUUAAGGGUGAGGGGAUGGGCUUAACCUCACACUAGGCUAACAGCAAUAUGGUUCAAAUUCGUCUUUGGCGAGAAUCGAACAUGAGACCUCUCACUUACAAGUGAAGAGAAAUACUACUAGACCGUAGUACUAAGUAGCAACAACAAAGUUUAUUUGCCUGCGAUGUUUACCUUGUCAUGUUACUUUUUGCUUCAAUUCGUCUGAGAAUGUGAAGAAUUUUGGUUUGGAUGUUAAUGUCCUUGGUACAAGCACGUCCAAGAUUUUAUAAAAAAUUCAAGUUCCUUCUUGAAAGUAUUUUAUGAAAAAGAACCUACAAUUGGUGUAUUUUUUUACAACUAUAAUGUAACAAUGAAAUGCUAAAAGUAAAAUCAUUUUAGCAACCGAAUGUCAUAUAUAAGUAUGAUUUCAACCAAAAACUCUAUAUAAAACAACCCACACAUCGAAAAGUGACAUACAAGACAACCAUUGUUGCCUACCAUGGCCAAAGGCCCCAAAUAGCCAUAUACGAGCAUUGUCUAAAAAUAAAGAUUUAGGUUAAAGAAAAAAGCAGUUAUAUUUACUUUUUUUUUUUUGUCAAACGAAGCAGCUAUAAUUACUACUCACUGGUUACAAUUUUACAUUCACAUCCUGUUAUGCCAUAUAAAAGAAGGAAAUUUUAACAAAAAACUUCUGAUACUGUUCACUUUAACGAAAAAUCAUAUUUUUACACUAAAAAAUCAAUCCUGGUACUAUUCACUUUACCUUUUAGAGCAAGUCCACCGGAGUGGACUUUGCCCAGCACUCAGUCCAAAUAGCAGUCCAUGUCCAUGUCCAUGAUGAGUAUGUAAUUUUAUUUUGGUGUGCAUUUUUUUUUUAAGUUUAUUUGAAAUUUUAUCCAAAAUUUGUUAAAAAUCUUAUCCGAAAUAAACUUAAAAAAAAAAACACACACCAAAUAAAUGCGCUGGGUGCCAGUGCAUUUUUUUAGGGGUGAAAAUGCCUUGGCCUAUUACUGUUCACUUGAGUGGAUAAAUGCGCUGAAUGCUGGCGCAAAGUCCUUAGGGGUGAACUUCUCUUAUUUUAUCCUUAUAAUUAAAACUUAAAGUUUUCAAACAUUUUCAUUAGUUUCCUUUAAAAUAAUGAAUGUAGAGCGGGGUGCCGAGUGGGAUCAUAUAUGAUUAUUUUAUUAAGGAGAAUGGCAUCUUGUGUUUGCGUGUAUUUUUAUGUGUCGGUUGAAGUUUAUAUGCAAUCUGUAUGCCAUCCCAACAUAUAUAGGAUAUGGUCAUGCGUUUUAUUUUACAGUCAACAUUUUACCAAAAUGAAAAUUUUGCGGGAGAAGAAGAGAGGAGCUAGUAAUGUAUUGUACGAUUGGUCGCCUUUGUUGAGAAGCCUACGUUCCAAAUAAUUUUCACACUCCGUAUCUAUAUUUUAGAUUUGCAUACAGAAAGGAGAGGAGAACACACCUUUUACUGCAAAGUGAAACUCCUUUUGUUCAUCGCUUGUCUUAUAUGAGGGGGUUCUCUCAUGGUUGUAUCACCUAUCCUGUGCUUCUGACUACAGAUUUCUUCGUGUGCUUCUGACUGCAGAUUUCUUGUUCGUGAUGACAUGCCUCUUGGAGCUUUUGCCAAGUUUAUAGGGCGUCAACUCGAUAAAGUUCAUGUUCAACUGUAUUUCAAGAACAUUGUUGUUGUUGAUAAUUGCAAGUGUAUAAUAUCGUCUAAGUAAUAUAGUGAUAAGUAGAGUGUCGUUCAAACAAAGAUCGGAUUAACUUAUAUUUACUAUUGAGAUUGACUUCAAACUAAACUUAAAUAAAAGAGGGAUUAUGUUGACAAAUUCUAAGAUGCAAAGAAACCAAAUGAAAGUAAAAAUAACGACUGAUCGAGCACUAAAUAAAAAUGAAUGAAUUAUAAAAGAUUAAAAUAUGGAAGCACUAGGACAUCAGGUUCCUUAUUCUCAAUCCCAUCUAAUCCCGUUAUUCAUAUUAACAUCAAAUUAUUCCCAUGUUGCUAGCAAUUAUCCCUUGAUUCGUCAAUAUUUUCUGUCAGAAUAUACUAAUCGUGUUUCGAACUAUCUACCCAUGCUAUGUCUAGCCACAUAUAUAGAUAAUCAAAACCCUUUACGCUAAAUGGAUAAUUACAUGAUACUACACAAAUCAUAACCAAUAUAUCUAUUCAAUUAUGUAAUUUAUGGUAAUUGUUAUGAGAAGCAACCUACAAAACUCUACCUGUCAGUCACAAUUUAGUUAUUCACACAAAUAAUGGCCAGUUAUUUGAUAACAACGAAGCACAAUAACAAUUACUCAACAUGGAAAAUAACUGAGAUUAAUAUAAAAUAAUGAGAAUUAUAUGUUCAUGAUAAGAGUACACCCUAAUCCUAGCAAAAAGACUUAAUUCAUGAUUGAACUUAUGCCAAACAUGGAUGAAUUCAAUGACAUGCAAUAAAUCUUGAACUCCAACAUUGUUUUUGAAUGUGUGUAUGCGCUGUGGUGGUUUGAUCCUCCCCCAAAAAUCCUUGCGCCGCUGGGUUCUCCACCUUCCUUGCGGCACACCCUUAGGCUCUCCAAAAAAAACCUGAUUUUAUUCUCCCCCCUUCUGCCUCUCAAUAAGGGGAUUAAAAACCUUCUCAUUCUUGGAAAAGUCCAACGCCACUUUUUAUGAAGCCCAAAUUGGAUUUAAUUUGAUAAAGCCCAAAUUCCAGCACAAUUCUCACAAAGCAGCAGUCCACUUCGUUAUUCCAUGAUACUUUCUUUAUAAUUCUUCUUACAAAUCCACAUUUAUCUCCGACUAUUAUUUGUACAAAACUUACACAAAACACAUCAAACUCACCAAUUUAAUAUAAAAUCAUGACCAAAUAAUAAGUAAAAAAGGUAUAAAACAUGCAUAUAAUAUCACCCUAACAACUGUACCUCCUAAUGGUGAGCAGAGCUGCAUUUUUUUUCUUUUGUUUCCCAAAUUAUUUGUCAACCUUGUGACGUAGUAAUCUAAUUCUUGCACUGUUGCAGAGGCCUUGAUGUCUGAAUUUGAUGCGGAGAACAAGGGUAAAGAUGGAUUUCUUCACAUAACCUACACUGGCAAUGAGAAAGGAGACAGACUCUGAAUUCACUGAUGUGUUACCACCAGUAAGAGUUCCACUGAAUUAGAUACUUUUACUUCCUAGUCAGUAGGUGGACAUACCUCUGUUUUAAUUUGCGCCUCUAUGCAGAGGACUAAGAGUAGAGCUGCUGCAAAGAUUGACAUAAUUCCUGGCAGGAUCAAGAGGAGGAAGUUAGUUGUCGAUCCCUUGUGCUUUAUUUGUCUUAAAUUUGUUUGCUGCAAUGGAAAAAAGAUUGUUUCCUUUCCUUUUCCUUUAUGCUUGUAGGAAAAUCGGAAUAAUUUAGCUUUCAAAUUCAAUUGGUCAGGACUUGGAUCUAACGGAAAACGUGACACAGAACAGAGCGCAAUAGCGUUCUAGGAUGCUUUAAUCUACGCUUUUGAUAUUGUGUUCAGGAGUUUACCGGAGAUGUACACGGCACAUGAUGCAGAUGCUUGUAAAUUGUAGGUGGGGGAAACAGAUUAUUUACCUGUAAGGAUUUCACUUGGUCGAAUACGUCUGUUUCCUUCUACUGAUUCAUUGGAGGUAAUGCCAUGCUCUAAUUUGAGCCUCCUUGCAGGGGAGAAAGAGGAUGGAUGGAAGGUGUGGCAUUUGUGUGAUGAAGUUAGCAUCCACUUCCUUUUUGCUUCGAUUAUCUUGAUUUGCAUUGCAAUAAUAGAACGGGAGAUUUUAUCCCCUUUCUGUUAGGUAUUUCCAGAAUGAGAAUAGAACAGAUUGCUGUUUUUUUUAAUAUUUGUUUUCGAAAUAUUCUCAGGCCUUUUAUGGAGAAGCUCAAACCACUUGACGUAGAUGCUUGGAAAGUGAGGGAGAGGGGACCAGAUCAUAUACCGGUUAGAAUUCCGAUGCAUCGAAUAUGUUUAUUUCCUUCUAUGCAUUUCAUAUGAGAUAAAACAUGCUGUAAUUUAAGCCUCGAUGCAGGUGUGGGUGGAGAAGGAUGCAAGCAGUGACAUUCCUGACAUUGACAUGAAGAAGUUUGUUUCCGAUUCUUUUUUUCUUUGAUUAUCAUGAAUUGUAUUGCAAUAAUGGAAUAUGAUUUGACCUCCUCCGUCAUAGACACUAACAUAUACUUAUAUAUAUAGACACAUAUGCUUUUGGUAUAUCAUAUGUUACGUAAGCGAUCAGAAACAAAUAGUAUAAGCUUGUCUUGGAUGAAGGGGUUCACAUCUCACAUGUUGCAUGUCCUUUGUUUUUUCUUUUACUGCAGAUACAACGUCCAUCGCGAUAUGCCUCUCAGAGAAUUUGUUGAUUUUAUUCGGUUAAGGAUUCAGCAUGAAUCUCCAUGGAAGAAGUCUUUGUUUGUCUACCUCAUGAACACCGAGCUUCCCAUUGGUGAGUAACACAUUUUUGUUUUUAUGCCGGCAGUAAUGAUAUCCGUGUUUGUCCCGAGUUUGGUGCAGAGGUAGUGACUCUAAUUGUUCCAUUGCUGUUGCACAGGUACCACCUUGAUGUCCGAAGUUGAUGAGAAAAAAAAGGACGAAUACGGGUUUGUUCGCAUCACCUACAGUGGAGAAGAGAGAGGAGGCUGGAACCAUUGAAGAGCUCUGAGACAGUCGCUAUUCGGCCUCGUAGCUAUUAACUUCGGCCAUCGCAAUACAAAUCCUAAAUUGUUUUCUCAGUACAAGUAAUAUUCUACGAAACAUUUACAUUUUUCUUUGCUGGAAAACUCUUCAACCGCAGAAUGUUAAUUAUUCAUCUUCAACAAAAGAUAUAAAAAUAAUGUAUAUUUGUCUUUUGAUUUUACAUUUUUAGAUGGUCGGUUACACUAGUCAAAUGGAGAAAAUUAAUGUAAUCCUAAAUUUCUCUUUUACUUGAGUGGAACUUGUAUUUACAUUCCCUGAUAAGUAAAAAAAAAUGUAAAUAUAGUUUUUGCAUCUCAAAUUUGAUCUCACCAUUGGAUACCCUAAAGUCAAGUCAAGUGUGAGAGGGCACUCGAACUUGGUUGUGUAAGAGGAAUACAACAUUAGUACCUACCAUCGACAUAUAGUAACAUCUUACAUAUGUAUAUUGAUGAUAAAUUGUAGUAUGUAAAUCCGUAUACUACAUUCGCAUUUUAAGAAACACUUAAGUUUAAUGUACACAUAUCAAUAUUAUUUAUUUUUAAAACAUCAGCCUACUAUACAUAAGCAUAGCAUACACACGUAUUUACAUUUCAAAUCUUUUCAAAUUUCACAUUUUUCAAUAAUACGAAUAAAACUCACAUAGUAUGCAUAGAUUGCAUUUGGAGAGAGAGAAGGGGAAGAGUUUUGCAUUUAAUUCAUCGUAAGACCAACUCCAAGGACAAAACUCAAACUCAGAUAUUUGGGUUUAAACCCAAGAAAUGCAAUUCAAUGGAGUGACUUAAAUCCAAAAACAUUAAAUUUGGACCCAAACUAAAACCCAAAUUUGGCUGAACUAAAAAUUUUUUAGGCCACGCAUUUUAUCAAAAAGCAAUGGGUGGGGGAUGUGAUUAAGUGCCCAACAACUGGGCGCUAGCUGCAAAACAAUAAUAUUUUAAGGGAUUACGAGCCGUUUGAUUACUGGGCCGUUGGUGAUCAAUGGUCCAGAUUAAAAUCUUAUUUUUCUAGCAAUCUCUAGAUUUUGACCUAACGGUAUAUUUGUUUUUUCUUUUUUUCAAAUCUAACAGUAAAAAUAAUCUCACGAUCGAAAUUUAAAUCCAAUAGAAAGAAUUUAUUGUUGUUUGGUGAUUGCUUAGGUAGUUUUGACGGUAGAUAUUGAAGUUUGGUUAAUGUGUGUAUUGAAGUUUGGUUGGUGUGUGUAUUGAAGUUUAAUUGGUUGUUUAGGUAAUUUUGUCUGGUGGAUAUUGAAGUUUGGUUGGUUGAUUUGUAUAUUGAAAUUUGAUUGGUGUGUGUAUUGAAGUUUUGUUUGUGUGCGUCUAUUAAAGUUUGGUUGGUUAUUUAGAUCGUUUUGACUGAUGGAUAUUGAAGUUUGGUUGGUGUGUUGAUGGAAGUUUAAUUGGCUAGUUUAUAUAUUGAAGUUUCGUUGGUGUGUGUAUUGAAUCUUGGUUGAUUGUUUGUAUUUUGAAGUUUUAAUUAGCAAAUUUUGUUUGCGUUGCCGUUACAUCUCCGGGUUAAAAACAACUAGAACACGUACGAUAAAUAUGAAACAACAUUAAUGGCAUCCAAGAGUACUAAAAAACUAGCUAGCAAAUUAACUUAUACCUCCUCAUCGUCAACUUCGAUUUUGAAUUGCUUCUUGGAACUUCUUAUGCGACCAAAUGCGGGUGCAACGAAACUUAGUAAGAGUUUGGUACUUUUUUUUUUUUUUCUGUCAAGAAGUUAAAUAGUAUAUGAGUUGUUUUGUUUUGUUGUGACGAACUUAUUACUAGGAGUUAUCAGUUUGGGACUAAAUAUUUUGUCUGCGUUAACUUCUUUUUAACAUUACAACAACAACAAAGCCUUUUCCCACUAAGUGGGGUCGGCUAUAUGAAUCCUAGAACGCCAUUGCGCUCGGUUUUGUGUCAUGUCCUCCGUUAGAUCCAAGUACUCUAAGCCUUUUCUUAGAGUCUCUUCCAAAGUUUUCCUAGGUCUUCCUCUACCCUUUCGGCCCUGAACCUCUGUCCCGUAGUCACAUCUUCGAACCAGAGCGUCAGUCGGCCUUCUUUGCACAUGUCCAAAACACCGGAACCGAUUUUCUCUCAUCUUUCCUUCAAUUUCGGCUACUCCUACUUUACCUCGGAUAUCCUCAUUCUCAAUCUUAUCCUUUCUCGUGUGCCCACACAUCCCACGAAGCAUCCUCAUCUCCGCUACACCCAUUUUGUGUACGUGUUGAUGUUUCACCGCCCAACAUUCUGUGUCAUACAACAUCGCUGGCCUUAUUGCCGUCCUAUAAAAUUUUCCCUUGAGCUUCAGUGGCCUACGACGGUCACACAACACGCCGGAUGCAUUCUUACACUUCAUCCAUCCAGCUCGUAUUCUAUGGUUGAGAUCUCCAUCUAAUUCUCCGUUCUCUUGCAAGAUAGAUCCUAGGUAGCGAAAACGGUCGCUUUUUGUGAUAUUCGCUAGAUUGCUCCGGUCAUUAGUGUGGAUAAGUAUAUAAAUGGAUAGAGAUAGGAAAGCAAACACAAGAUGUACGUGGUUCACCCAGAUUGGCUACGUCCACGGAAUAGAAGAGUUCUCAUUAAUUGUGAAGGGUUUACACACAAGUACAUAGGUUCAAGCUCUCCUUUAGUGAGUACAAGUGAAUGAUUUAGUACAAAUGACAUUAGAGUACAAAUGACAUUAGGAAAUAUUGUGGGAGAAUGAUCUCGUAAUCACGAAACUUCUAAGUAUCGGAGUGUGGUAUCAUCUUGACUUGCCUUAUCUGUCUCAUAGGUAGAUGUGGCAGCUUCUCUGGAAGUACUCUUCCUCCAUCCAGGGGUGGUAUCUUUAACUGGUGGAGAUGCACAAGGUAAUGUAUCAAUUUCACUUGAAGCUUACUUGUAGUUUCAGGCUUGGUCAAGCGCGAUACAAACCAUGUAGUAGGAGUCCCCCAAGUCGCCGAGCUAGGGGAUCUGCUGAAAGAGGUGACAGACAAGGUAAGCAAUCAGAGCUCCGGCUGAUUGUUCACCUUAUCCCCAUCUUGCAGCAGCAUGAAGGAUAAAGAGAAGAAAAAUGAGAAGAGAUGAUAUGGGAUACUUUUGCUUUUGAAGAAGUAACUUUCCACAGGCUUAUUCUUGAACUGAGCUGGAGGGUUUUCUGGUUUCCUCCAGAGUAUAAGGCCGACUGAAGAAUUUGAGGGUCAAAACAAGUCCAUCAAAUCUAGAGUACGUUCGACCCUGCUGAUAUGGGAUACUUUUGCUUUUGACAGAGUAAUGGAAGUAUCGGCACGUGUGCUGUUCCGCUUGUCUCUACAUGCUUCCUUGUAUCCUUCGCACUUGCCCUAUCUGUUCCUCAAGCAGAUGCGGUAUCUUCCCUGGAAACAUAAACUGUUGAAGAUGAGUACUCGAGAGCAAUGCCAGGUAAGUAAUCAGGUAAGGGGUUCCAGGCAGUCAGUUCCUGGCUGGGAGCUUGAUUUCAAGUGCUGACUGAUUGCUCUCUUUCUCCUUGUCUUGCAGGUAAAAACAAGGCCAAAGGAAAAGACAGGGAAAAAGCAUGAUAUGGGAUACUCUUGCUUUUAACCCUGAUGAUAUGAGAUAUUCUUGCUCUAGUAUAGCUUGUUUGCAGAGGUAUUAUCGGGGGGAAAGAAAGCUGAAUAUUUCGAAAGGCUUCGUUGGGAGUGCCCUCUCAGAUAUGAGGAAGGGUUGAGCAUUUUUGCAGGUCUGCCUGUCCGUUGGGGAUGGAGGUCGACAUAUAUAGGAGUCUCCCUAACAACAAGUAGUAAUGUUAUUCCUUUACCCUGCUUGGUCAUAGCACGGUAGUGGGAGCUGCCAGCUUCCCAUGUUUUAACUCUGUCAGAGCACUUUGAAAAAGUGGUAUGUGGUAUCUGGCUCUCGAGAUUCGGAAAACGAUGCUUCUUCGAUUUUUGAGAAAGCAAUCAUGCUGGGGGUCUGGCUCUCGAGAUUCGGGGAGCAGUGUCUUCGAUUUUUGAGAAAGUAAUCAUGUUGGGAGUCUGGCUCUCGAGAUUUGGAGGGCGGUGCCUCUUCGAUUUUGGAGUAAGCAAUCUUGUUGGGAGUAUUUUCUCGGAUGUGAGUAAAGGUUGGGCAUGUUUGCUAGUCUACCUUGCCACGAAGCACGGAGGUUGACACACAGGGACUUUCCAAUUAUCCAGCAGUGGUACUGUGCCUUUACCCUUGUGGGUAAUAAUAUGGUAGCUAGACCUUCAAAAUUUAUGUGUCUAAACUUUGUUAGUGCUGUUUCUUUGCUAUUCUUUUACCUUUCUUGGUCAGAGCGAUGUAGUGGGAGCUGCAAGCUUCACGUGCUCAACUUUGGCAGAGACUUUGGCAAAGUUAUCUGUGGUACCCAUGAGCUAUUGUUGCGUGUGGGAAGUGGGUGAUUGAACAGUAAGAUUCAUGUGCUUUCUACUUCACCAGAAGUCUUCGACAGAAUGCCCAUAAUUUCCGCAAAGCUGAGUGUGCGUGUGACAGGUGCUGACAAGGCUAGAAAAGUAGGUGCCUCUUCGAUUUCUGAGAUCGGCCCUCGUGGUCUCUGAGCAGCCCAGCUUUUGAGAAAGCGAGCGCCUCUUCGAUUGAUUCGGAGAACGAUGCCUCUUCGAUUUUUGAGAAAGCAAUCAUGCUGGGGGUCUGGCUCUCGAGAUUCGGGGAGCAGUGUCUCUUCGAUUUUUUUUAGAAAGUAAUCAUGUUGGGAGUCUGGCUCUCGAGAUUCGGAGGGCGGUGCCUCUUCGAUUUUGGAGCAAGCAAUCUUGUUGGGAGUGUUUUCUCGAAUGUGAGUAAAGGUUGGGCAUGUUUGCUAGUCUACCUUGCCACGAAGCACAGAGGUUGACACACAGGGACUUUCCAAUUAUCCAGCAAUGGUACUGUUCCUUUACCCUCUCUUCGAUUUUUGAGAAAGUAGUCAUGUUGGGAGUCUGGCUCUCGAGAUUCGGAGGACGGUGCCUCUUCGAUUUUGGAGCAAGCAAUCUUAUUGGAGUGUUUUCUCGAAUGUGAGUAAAGGUUGGGCAUGUUUGCUAGUCUACCUUGCCACGAGGCACAGGGGUUGACACACAGGGACUUUCCAAUUAUCCAGCAGUGGUACUGUUCCUUUACCCUUGUGGGUAAUAAUAUGGUAGCUAGACCUUCAAAAUUUAUGGGUCUAAACUUUGUCAGUGCUGUUUCUUUGCUAUUCUUUUACCCUUCUUGGUCAGAGCGAUGUAGUGGGAGCUGCAAGCUUCACGUGCUCAACUUUGGCAGAGAACUUUGGCAAAGUUAUCUGUGGUACCCAUGAGCUAUUGUUGCGUGUGGGAAGUGGGUGAUUGGACAGUAAGAUUCAUGUGUUUUCUACUUCCCCAGAAGUCUUCGACAGAAUACCCAUAAUUUCCGCAAAGCUAAGUGUGCGUGUGACAGGUGCUGACAAGGCUGGAAAAGUAGGUGCCUCUUCGAUUUCUGAGAUCAGCCCUCGUGGUCUCUGAGGAGCCCAGCUUUUGAGAAAGCGAGCGCCUCUUCGAUUUCUGAGAUCGGCUUUCGUGGUCUUUGAGCAGCCCAACUUUUGAGAAAGCAAACACCUCUUCGAUUUAUGCGAUCAACCCUCGUGGUCUCUAAGCAGCCCAGCUUUUGAGAAAGCAAACGCCUCUUCGAUUUCUGAGCAGGCGCCUCUUCGAUGUCUGAAGCUCCGUCGAGUGCAGCUUUUUAUAGGGGCUGGCAUUAAGUUCCAAAGCACACUUGAAUCUCCACCAGUAGAAGCUCCAUUCUUGCACUUCUAAGAUCUUGAUUUGUCCGACCUCUUCUCUCUUCAACACCUUUGAAAAUGUCUGGCCCCUCCGACCGUCGUUUUGACUUGAACCUUGUUGAAGAGGCAGCCCCGCCUUCUCCAGACAACAUAUGGCGCCCAUCCUUCGUCUCCCCUACUGGUCCUCUUACCGUUGGGGAUUCCGUGAUGAAGAAUGAUAUGACCGCUGCGGUGGUGGCCAGGAACCUUCUCACUCCCAAAGAUAACAGACUACUUUCCAAACGGUCUGAUGAGUUAGCUGUUAAGGAUUCGCUGGCUCUCAGUGUUCAGUGUGCAGGUUCUGUGUCUAAUAUGGCCCAACGCCUAUUUGCUCGAACCCGCCAAGUUGAAUCAUUGGCGGCCGAAGUGAUGAGUCUCAAACAGGAGAUUAGAGGGCUCAAGCAUGAGAAUAAACAGUUGCACCGGCUCGCACAUGACUAUGCUACAAACAUGAAGAGGAAGCUUGACCAGAUGAAGGAAACUGAUGGUCAGGUUUUACUUGAUCAUCAGAGAUUUGUGGGUUUGUUCCAAAGGCAUUUAUUGCCUUCGUCUUCUGGGACUGUACCGCGUAAUGAAGCUCCAAAUGAUCAACCUCUGAUGCCUCCUCCUUCUAGGGUUCUGUCCAGUACUGAGGCUCCGAAUGAUCCCCCUCCGAUGCCUUCUCUUUCUGAGGCUCUACCGACUGCUGAGACUUCUCCUAAGCAACCUUUGUGAAGGCUCCAUCUUGUUUGUUUAUUUUGACUCAUGUAUAUGUACAUAUUUGUAGCUUAUCGAGGAUAUCAAUAAAUAAGCUUUUCUUCAUUUCAACGUAUUGUGUUAAAUACACCAAAGCCUUCUUCGCUAAGUUCUUUGAAUUUUCUUUUGUUGAAGCUUGUAUGUUGAAGCUUUCUGAGUGGAGCAUGUAGGUUGGGGUAGUGUUCCCUUAAUUUUCCGAGUGAGGAAAACUUCUCGGUUGGAGACUUGGAAAAUCCAAGUCACUGAGUGGGAUCGGCUAUAUGAAUCUUAGAACGCCAUUGUGCUCGGUCCUGUGUCAUGUCCUUCGUUAGAUCCAAGUACUCUAAGUCUUUUCUUAGAGUCUCUUCCAAAGUUUUCCUAGGUCUUCCUCUACCUCUUCGGCCCUGAACCUCUGUCCCAUAGUCGCAUCUUCUAAUCGGAGCGUCAGUAGGCCUUCUUUGCACAUGUCCAAACCACCGUAACCGAUUUUCUCUCAUCUUUCCUUCAAUUUCGGCUACUCCUACUUUACCCCGGAUAUCCUCAUUCCUAAUCUUAUCCUUUCUCGUGUGCCCACACAUCCAGCGAAGCAUCCUCAUCUCCGCUACACCCAUUUUGUGUACGUGUUGAUGCUUCACCACCCAACAUUCUGUGCCAUACAGCAUCGCCGGCCUUAUUGCCGUCCUAUAAAAUUUUCCCUUGAGCUUCAGUGGCAUACGGCGGUCACACAACACGCCAGAUGCACUCUUCCACUUCAUCCAUCCAGCUUGUAUUCUAUGGUUGAGAUCUCCAUCUAAUUCUCCGUUCUUUUGCAAGAUAGAUCCUAGGUAACGAAAACGGUCGCUCUUUGGUAUUUCUUGAUCUCCGAUCCUCACCCCUAACUCGUUUUGGCCUCCAUUUUGCACUGAACUUGCACUCCAUAUAUUCUGUUUUUGAUCGGCUUAGGCGAAGACCUUUAGAUUCCAACACUUCUCUCCAAAUGUUAAGCUUUGCAUUUACCCCUUCCUGAGUUUCAUCUAUCAACACUAUAUCGUCUGCGAAAAGCAUACACCAAGGAAUAUCAUCUUGAAUAUGUCCUGUUAACUCAUCCAUUACCAACGCAAAAAAGGUAAGGACUUAAGGAUGAGCCUUGAUGUAAUCCUACAGUUAUGGGAAAGCUUUCGGUUUGUCCUUCAUGAGUUCUUACGGCAGUCUUUGCUCCUUCAUACAUAUCCUUUAUAGCUUGGAUAUAUGCUACUCGUACUCCUUUCUUCUCUAAAAUCCUCCAAAGAAUGUCUCUUGGGACCCUAUCAUACGCUUUUUCCAAAUCUAUAAAGACCAUGUGUAAAUCUUUUUUCCCAUCUCUAUAUCUUUUCCAUCAAUCUUCGUAAGAGAUAGAUUGCCUCCAUGGUUGAGCGCCCUGGCAUGAACCCGAAUUGGUUGUCCGAAACCCGUGUCUCUUGCCUCAAUCUAUGCUCAAUGACUCUCUCCCAGAGCUUCAUUGUAUGACUCAUUAACUUAAUACCCCUAUAGUUCAUGCAAUUUUGUACGUCGCCCUUAUUCUUGUAGAUAGGCACCAAAGUGCUCGUUCGCCACUCAUUUGGCAUCUUCUUCGUUUUCAAAAUCCUAUUGAAAAGGUCAGUGAGCCAUGUUAUACCUGUCUCUCCCAAAACUUUCCACACUUCGAUUGGUAUAUCGUCUGGGCCUAUUGCUUUUCUAUGCUUCAUCUUCUUCAAAGCUACAACCACUUCUUCUUAACAUUAUGUUGUCAAAAAUAUUUUGUGAACAUUUUGACAAAAAAUAAUUCAAAUUAUGAUACUAAAUUCUUUUCUUCACAAAGAAACGUAACUAGAAUGACUACAUUAUUGGAUUAUAUCAUGCCUAUGUCAUGGCUCUAUUAUUGGACUAUGUUAUAAUCCAUUAUUUAUGAUCUAUAUAAGAUUUCAAUUCUUUGCAAGCGUUGGAUCAGAUUUUCUUAUCUUAAUCUCACCCUCAGAUUUUCAUUAAUCUUUUUAUCCUCUCAAUAUAAAAAGAGGUCUCUAUAUAUCUAUCACAUUCAUCAUAUUUUAUCCAUUCCAUUUUCCUUGUAUGAAACGAAAUCCUGCAAUGGUGUCGUUGAAUGUUUGCAAACAACCCAUGGAUUUUACCUGAAAGGUGCUCGUGUGGCCCUUAGUCAAGCUCUGGUAAACUUGAGUCUUGAUCUUCUUCAGAAAAUGGGAUAUAUGGAACUGCAGACCCCAUUUUUCAAGAGCAAAGAUAUCAAGUGAAAGAGUGCUCAAAACUGUUUAUGGGGCCAUAUAGAGUUCGUUACAAUCCAUGCUUGUGUUUUUUUAAGAUUGAUGUUUGUGUGAUUGAACAUUCUUUUAGUUAUGAUACUGCCAAGCUAAUCUCUGUCAUUGUUCAGAGUCUUCCUUUAAAUUAGAAUAGUUAGAAUAUUUCAUUUAUUUUUUGUCUUUUAUACUGGAUACACUUGCAUUCUUAUGAAAAAUUACAUAUUUAUUCACAUAAAUAUUACAUCAGGUGCUUCAUACAUAUCUUCAGAAUUCUUCUACUUUGCAAUCGUUUUUGUCACCUAAUUCCAGCAAAUACUAGCAUCUCAGAAAACAACUUAAUAAUAUGUAAGAUUGACUCAAAUUGUCACGCAAGGGGCUGUAGCGUCACCUUUGCUUGUACAAUUAACUGGACCCUUUUACUUUACAUUUUGACAUUAUAUUAAUGUGUCCUUGUUCAUGAUCUGAGAUUAUUUUAUUUAUUUUUAUUUCAUAUUAGGCUAAGAGGAUGCUCAAAAAUCUUCUUCUGAUAUGUGAUGAUUUUUAUGCACCAUUUACCCCUGCUUUUUAUAAAAGAAAGUUGAAUAGUUUUUAUGAAUCUGAUGAAUGUAGAUGAUUCAAUUCUAAGUUUGAUCAAUUUGUAUUUUAUCACUUUCAGUCACAGCAAAUCAAGAGCCAGCCAAAUGGCCAUGUCUAUGGCCAAAGGGGCCAUGACCAUAGGAGAGAUGAGGUUGUUGCUGCUCCAGGAGCGCCUGAUAGAGUAUAGAAAUUGAUGUAUAGGAUGAUGACAUGUGUAAUUAGAUUAGAAGAUGUGUUAGUUAAGACAGUUAGCCUUGUUGUUGGAAGUGUAUAAAUAUAUCAACCUCUUGUAUUACUUGGUGACUACGAAAUAUAUCAAGAACAUUCAUUCUCUCUCUCUCCUCUCUGAGUUGUUAUCUCUCUCUAGAAUUUCUGUAUACAAUUUCAUAGAUUUAGUUACAUUUACAUGGUAUCACUCGCCUUUGUUGCCUGCGCUUGAUCUUCGAUCCUCCUUUUCUCCUUUUCUGCUUCCACUCGCCUUUGUUGCAUGCGCUUGAUCUUGUAAAUUUGUCUUCGGUAUCUUCAAUUCUCUUCGUCUUCUUGAAAUCCUGAGUUCUAGGGUUUUUCUUGGUUGAUCGUCUUCAUGCGUCGAUCAUUUCUUCUGCUCUUUUGGUUAGUGCAUACCACCUGUUUGCUAAAAGUUCUCACUGAGUUUGUUUGCAGCAAUUUCAAUGGUGACUGCAUCGCAACUUCAACUUGUGCAAUCCCCGAUUACUGCCCUAAUCUCCUCCAUUUCGACUUCGGUGAAUGUCAAAUUGGAUGACUCUAACUAUCUUAAUUGGCACUUUCAGAUACAACUCUUGUUGGAGAGCAAUGGAAUUAUGGGAUUUGUUGAUGGCUCACAUCCCUGUCCUUCUUAAUUUUCCCAUCACUCUGGUGUCUCUGGUAUGAACUCUAGCUCUAAUGCUUCUGUUGCAACGGAUGAGUUUAUGAUUUGGAAAAUGCAUGAUAAGGCUGUAAUGCAACUGCUAACUGCUACCCUUUCGCCUGCUGCUCUAUCAUGUGCUAUUGGUAGUAAGAGUUCUCAGGAUAUAUGGAUUCGUUUGAAAGAACAAUUAUCUACUGUGUCUAAGACUAGUAUCUUUCAAAUGAAAUCUAAUCUCCAAACAAUUAAGAAGGGUUCUGAUUCUGUGUCCCAGUAUCUUUAUAGGAUAAAAGAGGCUCGGGAUUACUUAUCUGCUGCUGGAGUUCACUUUGCUGAUGAAGAUAUUGUUAUCCUUGCUCUCAAUGGUUUACCCUCUGAAUAUAAUACUUUUCAGUGUGUCAUUAGAGGUCGUGAGAAUGUGAUAUCUCUUAAAGAGUUUCGAUCUCAGUUGCUUGCUGAAAAGAUUAUUGUUGAGAAUUCUACCACUGCACCAUUUAUUACUGCAAUGGUUGCAAACAAUGUUUCGCAUUCCGGAAAGGGUACAUCUGGUCAGUCUCAAUUUUUCUCUGGCGGUUAUAAGACGUUCAAUGGCAACAGAAACAAAGGAAAAGGCAAGUUUAAUCAAGGGUUUCGGUCUUAUCCACCCAAACUGUCUUUUUCCACUCAAACACAUGUGCUACCAACACCUACCAACACCGAAUCCGGGCAUCCUUGGUCACUCCCUAGUGCAGUCUUAUGGCAAUUCAAGUGCUCCCUUGGUGCAAACCUGUCAACUUUGUAAUGCUGAAGGACACACAGCACCAUUCUGCCGUCCUAACCCUUAUAACAGAGCUAAUUGUCAAAUUUGUGGCAAGCACAAUCACAGCACAUGGUAUUGUUUUUAUAAUGACAAAGGUCCUAAUUUUGUUGGUGCUACCAGUCAGUUUUAUCCGUCUCCGAUGAAUUCCUCAAACUUUGGUGCUCCCGGUUACAAUGCUUCUAGUCAGCAAUCUGCAAUGACUGGACAUCAAUUCUAUCCUCAGCAUCACUCUCCUCAAGCUCUGCAUACUGUGAUGACUCCGUCACCUUUCGUGACAUCUCCUUCUCACUCUAAUCCUCAAGUAUGGCUCACUGACUCUGGUGCUACAAAUCACAUGACUUCGGAUCUCAGCAACUUAUCUUUGGCAUCUCCAUACCCUACCUCUGAGAUUGUCCAAACUGCCAAUGGUGAAGGUUUGCCUGUAUCUCAUAUUGGAAGUACUGUUCUUAAUCUUUCCACAGUUAAUUUUGUUCCUCCAAUGAAGCUCAAUUCUGUGUUAUAUGUUCCGAAGUUAACACAAAACUUAUUAUCUGUGCAUCGGAUCUGUUUGGAUAACAAUUGCUGGAUAAUUUUUUAUGCUUUUUGCUUCUGGAUUCAGGACAAGGCCAUAGGGAGGAUCAUUUACAAAGGAGUAUGCAGUAAUGGUCUAUACUCAAUUCCCUGUCUUUCAACCGCUUCUCAUGGAUCCACCUCAGUACCGUUCCAAGCUCAAGCUCUUCUUGGUCAGCACAUUCACUCUACUACUUGGCACAAUAGACUAGGCCAUCCAUCUAAUUCUAUUGUCUCUUUGAUGUUAAAACAAGCUCAUAUUUCCUGUCCAAAACCAUCCUUACCUGUAAUGUGUUCUAGUUGUUUGGAGGGAAAGUUUUGUAAAUUUCCUUUUCCUCUAAGUCCCAAUAAGUCUAUAAAACCCUUUGCUCUAGUUCACAGUGACCUUUGGGGUCCAGCCCCUUCUGUUUCUAUUGAUGGUUACAAGUAUUAUGUGACCUUUAUUGAUGAGUGUACAAGAUACUGCUGGAUUUUCCCAUUAAUAAAUAAAUCUGAUGUCUUUGCCAAAUUUCUUGCAUUCUAUUCCUUUGUUGUUACUCAGUUUGCAACUCCUAUUCAAACUCUUCAAAGUGGUGGGGGGGAGAGUAUGUCAGUAAAGCAUUUUAGUCAUUUCUUCUUGCAAAAGGCAUUACACAUCAUAAAUCCUGUCCAUAUACACCUGAGCAAAAUGGCCUAGCUGAGAGAAAGCAUAGGCAUAUCAUUGAAACAACGGUGACCCUUUUACAAACUGCUAGAUUACCUGCCAUGUUUUGGUCCUAUGCUUGUCAAACCGCCAUAUACCUCAUCAAUAGAAUGCCCACUCCUGUCCUAGGCAAUCAUUCUCCAUUUGAACUAUUGUUUGGGCUUCUGCCUGUCAUUUCCCACCUUAGAUCAUUUGGAUGUGCUUGUUAUCCGUUAUUAAAGCCUUAUAAUGACUCUAAGCUGCAACCAAAAACCACUAAGUGUAUUUUCCUGGGGUAUGCUACCAACUAUAAAGGGUAUCUAUGUUAUGAGGUUUCUAAACAAAGACUAUACAUAUCACGGCAUGUAGUGUUUGAUGAGUCUCAAUUCCCAUACACAGACUUAUUGGUCCAUCAUAACUCCUCACACCUUAGUUCUACCAUCCACAGUCCAGUACCUAUUGUUUCCACUGAUAAUGUUGUGGUAUCUAUGCCUAUUGUUCCCAUAACAUCACCAUCACAUCCUGCCUCUUCUAAUUUGCUUGGUUCUCCUACCAUAUCACUCUCUCCAAUUACAUCAUCACCACUAUCCUCUCAAUCCAUUACUGCUUCUACUACUUCUCAACCUCCUGUGGCACUUGUCAAUGGUUCUCCUCAGUCUCAAGUUCCAGCAGUACAAUUUCAUCCUGAUACUUUGUCAGUGGUCCUGGAGGUUCCACCACUCAAUUUACAUCCUAUGCAAACUCGGAGCAAGAGUGGCAUUAUCAAGAAAAGAGCUUUGUUAGCUACUGUUCAGGAAUCUGAGGGUACUGAUUUGUCUCUUAUUGAACCAACUUCCUAUAAAUCUGCACUUAAGAAUCCAAUUUGGUUUAAGGCUAUGCAAGAGGAAAUCAGUGCUUUGCAUACACAAGGUACCUGGAAUCUGGUGGUCUUACCUUCCUCAAAGAAUUUGGUGGGGUGCAAGUGGAUCUUCAAGAUCAAGAGACAUUCUGAUGGUACAAUUGCACGGCAUAAAGCUAGAUUAGUAGCUAAAGGGUUCAGUCAAGAACCUGGAAUUGACUAUGGGGAAACGUUCAGUCCUGUGGUUAAACCUACAACUGUUAGGUUAGUAUUGGCUCUUGCAGCUCAGUUUGGUUGGUCCCUUCGACAACUCGAUGUCAAAAAUGCCUUUUUACAUGGCAUUUUAGAAGAAGAAGUGUACAUGGCUCAGCCUCCUGGGUUUGAAGAUGUUCAUCAUCCUCACCUUGUUUGCAAACUGCACAAAUCCCUAUAUGGACUCAAGCAAGCUCCCCGAGCUUGGAAUGAUAGAUUCACAAAAUUCCUGCCUCAUUUGGGGUUUCAAAACACUUAUUUGGAUUCCUCUUUGUUUGUCAAAAAUGUUGAUUCUGGUAUUGUCAUUCUCCUACUCUAUGUGGAUGAUAUUAUCAUCACAGGGAGUGCAUCUGCAUCCAUACAACAGGUUAUUACUGCAUUGACAACUGAGUUUGACAUCAAGGAUUUAGGGGAUUUGCAUUUCUUUCUUGGCAUUCAAAUUUCACGAAUUGCAACUGGUUUAUUCUUGUCUCAAUCGAAAUAUGUGUUGGAUCUUCUCACCAAAACAGAUAUGCUCGAUGCAAAACCUUGUGACACUCCUUGUUUGCCGUAUAACAGGCUUCUCAAGGAUGAUAGUGAUCCAUAUACCAAUCCUACUUUGUACAGAAAUGUGGUAGGUGUUUUGCAGUACCUUACGUUUACAAGGCCGGAUAUAGCAUUCUCUGUCCAUCAAGUGGCUCAGUUUAUGCAAUCACCUAUGGUUGCCCACUUUACCGCAGUUAAACGAAUCUUGAGGUACUUAAAAGGAACCCUUCGUCAUGGCAUCAGUUAUUCUCGAGGAUCGCUUCAAUUAAAGGCCUUCAGUGAUGCUGACUGGGCAGGGGACCCUAAUGACCGACGGUCGACCACUGGCUUGGUUGUGUUUUUAGGGAAUAGUCUUAUUUCCUGGUCAUCCAAGAAGCAACUGACAGUCUCCCGAUCUUCUACAGAGGCCGAAUACCGUGCCCUGUCAUCCACAUCUGUAGAAUUGGAAUGGAUCCAGCAACUGUUAGUCUUCUUGCAGGUUCCUUUAUCCUCUACACCUGUGUUGUUUUGUGAUAAUUUGUCGGCCAUUGCGUUGUCUUUUAAUCCAGUUCAACAUCAACGCACUAAACACAUUGAGAUUGAUGUCCAUUUUGUGAGGGAACGAGUGGCAAAUAAGCAACUCUCUGUGCAGUUUGUGUCGUCCAAAGAGCAGUUUGCUGACAUUCUGACUAAAGGCUUGAGUUCUCCUUUAUUUCAUACUCAUUGUACCAAUCUCAUGCUUCGUGCAUCCCAGCAUGAGUUUGCGGGGGGAUGAUAGAGUAUAGAAAUUGAUGUAUAGGAUGAUGACAUGUGUAAUUAGAUUAGAAGAUGUGUUAGUUAAGACAGUUAGCCUUGUUGUUGGAAGUGUAUAAAUAUCUCAACCUCUUGUAUUACUUGGUGACUACGAAAUAUAUCAAGAACAUUCAUUCUCUCUCUCCUCUCUGAGUUGUUAUCUCUCUCUAGAAUUUAUGUAUACAAUUUCAUAGAUUUAGUUACAUUUCCAGCGCCAACCCCUUCUUCUCCUAUGGCCAUGGCUCUAGACCUCCUCUCCUCUUUCUGCUUGAUCAUGAUAAUUGACGUGUAUUUAGCAUGGUCAACAAAGAGGACUUCGAGCGGGUUAAAGCCAGAACUACUAGGUGUGUUAAGAUUGUAUUCAUAUACAUACAAGAUAUUAGAGUGGUUCAACUUUAAUUGUACUGCUUUCACUUAGUAGUAUACUUUGUAUUGGUUUUGAUAAAAAAAAUUUGCAAAAAGUUGGGCGCACUCUAAGAUGUUAAUUAUCUUGAAAUUUAAAGCCUCUAAAACUUCAUAACGGAGAUCAGUUUUAAAUGAAAAUGGCUUGUUUAUGUAGACUUCGCAAUUAACUUAUAAUUUGAUUUCAUAUGUUGAAACAUUAGGGUUAUGUAUUGACGAUGGUAAGUAAUGGCAUAGAAGAGGAAUAUUAGCAACUUUCUCUUUUUGUACCUUUGCUUUUUACAUUUUAUAUUUAUUUUUAAGAUCAUAUAAUUAAAUUGUUAUUUAAUACUACGAUCUAAUGGUAUUCUUCUUCAUGUGUAAAUGAGAGGUUUUAUAUUCGAUUUUUAUCAAAGGCGAAAUAGAACCAAACUCAUUGUGACGUUACCCCCACCUCUAGUGUAUAUAAUAUUGUAUGUAUUAAAAAAAGAUCCUAUAAUUAAACUUGAUAAUCGAAACCAUUAAUUUGUGCACCACUUUGUAAAGAAUAGAAGUUAUCAAAAUAAAAAAAAUUAAUUGUGACAAAUAUAAUUAGCCAGCUAAUAUUCAUGCCAAACUACUUGCCAAAAACACAAAAUAAGGUAGGUUGGUGCUUUAUUGUAGUGACGGAAAGUAAUCAUGUUUAUGCACCCAGGCGCAUGUAAGAUUUCCACUGAUUCCCCUCCCUCCUAAUAAUUAGUCUUUGUUGGCUUGCUCACUCUCUUUUCCUUCACUGAAAAUUUUCCCAAGUGGUUAUUUUCAGGUAAGGUUUUUCAGAAACCCUCGUUUUGAACUUGUCGUGGGACUAUUGUUUGUUUCAUAAACAACUUGAGCAGGGGUAGGGUUUGGUUCAUCCUCUGAUGAUUGACAUGUUGUGGAUCGAGAGAAGACUACGAUCGAUGCCCAGGAAAACUCGAUCAAUCAUUCGUUUUGGAAGAACAAGAGCCGUGGUCCUACGGUUCAUGAUUGUACAAACAAUGAUCCCACCAGCUGAUGAUCAAGAAAAAUGGACUUGCCACUUGCCAGACAUUGUCACAACGACAAGGCUUUGGCAUCGAUCAUGUCAUGCAAGUGGGACGACCGAUCGAGCAUUUUCAUCACUGACAACCUCCUAAGUAAAUCAAAAGAAAAUUAUUUGGCAUAACUAAUGUUCAAAAAGAGAAAAAUGGUAUGCGGAAUUUAUUUCUAGAGAGAGAAGCAAUGACUUGGCUGACCCCAACAUCAACAUGCAUGAUUGUAACAACUCAAAUAACAGAAAAAGAUCUCUCCUCUCUAAUCGUUUGAGGCAUAUACGUAAAAAACAGCCUACCACCUCAGCUUGCUGCCAAUCAAUCAACAAUAAUAAUGUUCACUAUAAAAUUUUCUCAGCAUUGAAUUUUUGUGGUAAAUUCCCUCUUGAAAAAUGGUUGAGUGUGACCUCUAUUUCCUUCUAUCUCUGCAGGUUGAAAAAGUUGUGACGGAGAUAUUUGAUGGAUUCUCUUCCAAACUUUGCCUCCAUAAUUUUCGUUGCAAAAAUCUUUCUACUUUGAUUCGCUCGCUUUUCCUGGUUUUUUUUCUUUACAAGCACGAGAGGAAUCGAACUCGUACCUAUAUAUCUUAAUCUUAACCACACCCUAUCUUCAUGUGUUUUCAUUUAAUAAUUAAGUAGCGAUUUCGUUACUAAACUAAUUAAGAACCUUGAUUGAAAAAUCUUACAACCCAGUCGAAAAUCUCAAGUGGAUAUGGUAAUUUUGCUCCAAUAGUUGGCAGCAAAAUUAUCUGGUACUUCAUGCAACUUGUCAUUCAACUUGGCGCACCAGUUGGCCAAACGUCACAACGAUGAAGGGAUGAAACAGGCUAAAAGCCAACAAAACAAACCAAACAUCUUGUAAAAAGGGAACAUAAUUUACGCUGGUCUUCUUCUUAGAUUUACAGCUUUCAAGUGUGCAUGAUGAUACAAUUUUGUUCCUGCAUGAAAACAAAAGGGACGAUCAAAUAUGUUAUCUUUUUAACUUUUUACAACAUCACUUGUAACGGUAUUUAAAUAUAAUUAUAAAAUGUUAUGCGAGAAAUUUAAAAUACAUAACAGUAUACUAUUAGCUUGAGAUACUAGUUUGAGGUUUGAUUAAUCAUAAAGCUCCAAGUUAAGAAAAAGGGUAAGUUAAUAACUUUGAUAAUUUUAACUUGAGCAACAAAAGUUUGAUGGUGCUGCAACUACAAUAUUAUUACAUAGUAUCUCUUGUGCACGAAUAACAUGUCUUGGUGACAGAUAGAAAUUCACUCCUGAUUUCUAUCCGGAGUAAACAGAACAUGGAAUUCAAAUUUUUCAAAUUCCAACUUAACGCUCAGGUUCGGACACUAACAUCUGGAGAGGAUCCGAAUUCCACCCUGACGACGCAAAGCCUCCUCUACUUCCCGACAAACCUCCAACAAAACCUCUCUGAUUCUUCUCCUUUUAUAAUUUUGUGUUAGUACAAGAAUCUCAUGUUAUAUUAAUCCUAAAGGCUUUCUUACCAUAACAAUAUAAUAUCCGGCCAUGACUCUUAUCCCUACUCCCUAUUACAAUGAUUCCUCAACCAUUUGAUCCUCUGGAUCUAAUUAACAUAUCAAGUACACAUGGGCAUGGCCUCAUCACAUAAUAAUUUAAGGGGUGUGCUAUCCACACACCCCUUUUUACUUCUCUCACAUCCUUUUUUACUUUUCCCACACCCCUUGUUAAUUUCGGUCAUUUGAUAUUCUUCAAUUCAUCCGAUCCAACAGUCAAAAAUUAAAAGAGUGUGAGAGAAGUAAAAAUGGUGUGUGGAUAUCAUGUCCCUAAUUUAAAUACCGAAUCAAGAAAAAUCUUAGGUGUAACCAUUUCACUAUUUCAUUUUCUCACUCUUUUAAGUUGUGAAAGGUAGAUAAUACAACAAUUACAUGAAAGAUUGAUAAAAUCUCUCCCAAAAUUGAAUUUAAACAAAACCAGCUUGACGAGAAAUAUUAUUGUGUUACGUGAGAUUAUGUUAUAUUAUUGUGGCGAAAGCACUUAUUACGUGACCAAAUCACAUGAUAAGCAUUUUAGAUCAUAUGACGAGUGUUGUAGUAAACACAUCAAGAUGUAUCCUGGGAAAGAUUCUCUCCAUCUGGACACCAUGAAAUCAAUCAUAUUCUAAACUCUCAUUAGGGUUUUCAAUGAUUUGUUUUAAUUAACUUUGUUUAUGAAAGGGGUGGUGGUGGCUGAUUAAUUAGUGGCAGGUGGGAUUCUGAUUCUGAUUUUCUUACAUAAUUGACACUCACACACACGCACCAAAACAAAUGUUGCAAUGCAUGACGUGAUAUGGACGGUUGUGAUGUGGGUUGUCAUGCUCGAUAUAAAAAGGAAACCAGUGGCGGGGAAACAUGCAAGUUUUAGGGUUUUUUGUACUUGUCAAAUAUUCCAAUUGUAUUGACGUUAUUGGAUGGCUUUUAUACUACAUGUUACAGCGGUACAUGCUUAGAGUGCCUGAGAAUGUUAGGGUUAGUCGCGAACAAACACUAGUGUAUCUCUUUCUGAUGAAUAAAGAGUAAAAUUUGCAUAUAUCAACCAUUAAAAAAUUAUACAGUCGUGAGUGUAGCAAAAUCUUAAUUGGAGUUCGUUUGAAACUAUUUAGCAAAAUCUUAAUUAUUUACCGUUGUAACAAUUUCAUUUCCUAGUGAAGCUAAGCGGCAUAGGAUACUUCAUUGCAAUGAGAGGUCCAUCACAAGCCAGUUUUAGGUACAUGGGGUCAGGGUGCAUUACUCCACGGGCCAUGGAACAUGGCUAGCAGGUCCCGGACAAGGUCGGGUCAUUGAUAACCCAGGGUCCCUCACCGCAGCAGAAUCCCACACACUAAUGGCGCGUUUACUAAUCCGUAAUCAAAUUGAGAGGAAUUGGAUUGAGGGGGAAUUGGAUUGAGGAAGAAUUGAAAUGAGGUGGAAUCAGAAUCAGAUUCCUGUUGAAGUUGUUUACUAAAACUGUCAGGAAUCGGAGUAGGAAUGAUGUUGAGUCCAUAUAAGUUGUUUACUAAUUCAUUUCAAUCGGAAUGAAAACUAGGUUGAUUACUUUAUUGCCCUUACAUAAAUAAAUUAUUUUCAUACUAAUUAAUUUAAUUAAAUUCUUAAUUAAAUUUAUAUAAUAAAAUUCAUCUAUAUAAGCAUGUAUAAAUAGGUUUUAUUUAUUUAUUAAAAGAUGGCAAAAAUGAUAUUGAAUCUAUAUAAGUUGUUUACUAAUUCACUUCAAUCGGAAUGAAAACUAAGUUGAUGACUAAAUUGCCCUUACAUAAAUAAAUUAUUUUCAUACUAAUUAAUUAAAUUAAAUUCUUAAUUAAAUUUAUAUAAUAAAAUUAUCUAUAUAAAAAAAUAUAAAUAGGUUUUAUUUAUUUAUUAAAAAUGACAUAAUGAGUGUCAAAUGAAGGGCAAUGUUGGGAUAAUAAGAAACAAGUGAGGGCAUAAUUGGAAUAAAAGAUGCAUUCCUGAUUCCCUUGCCCUUAGGGAAUUCAAAUACCUCACAAAACUAGGGAAUCCGGUUCCUCCAAUUUCAGGAAUUGGAUUCCUUGUUUCGUGUGGGCUCCACCACUUUUUUGAUUCCUUAAUAUUUAGUAAACACCGGAAUACUCCGUAAUCGGAAUUCAAUUCCCUUUCUUUAUUCCGAUUACCCUUACGUAAACAUGCCAUAAGGCCGGUAUAAGGGAGAGGGAUCCUCAAUAGUACCUUACAAAAGGGGAGGGGGUCCUCCAUUUGAUGAAAAGAAUUUUUGCCGGAUCAUUUUCAUAAGGAUCCUGUAAUCGUGACCGUUCAUCGUAUAUUGUGCGAUUAGAAAUUAUUUUAAAAUUUAAAAUUUAAAAUUAAAUAUAAAUAGUACUUAACGAAAACUGACCGCAUGAUAUACGAUGAACGAUCACGAUUACGAGAUUCCUAAGAUCCUUAGGAAAAGAAUGCGACGAAGAUCCUUUUCCCCAUUUGAUAUACAUGAAACAUCAUCAACCCUUAUCCUCCCAUAACCCAAGUGGAUAACAAAUGCAACUUUUUAUGUUAAAAAUCAAAUGACAUGAUUUAUCAAAUUUUAUAAAUAACGAGUUUGAUAUUAAUUUAUUUUUUUAAUAUAAAUAUAUUCCAAAUAUAAUAAAAUAAAUCAAUGAUGUUAUCAUGAAAAUGAGUGCGUAUAGAAAGUUAACAUAGCCAUGAUACUUAACAAUAAACUACUACGAGUAAUCAGUGGUUAAAAAUGAAUUUUAAGUCCAAAUUUCACACGACGUGUUUUUAGUUCGAUUUCUAGCGCUAGCAAAUAACACGAUGGUGGUCAGAGGAAGCCUGAAAUGCUUAUAUGAGUCUUCCAAACUCUUGAAAUAAUGAAUUGUCGUUGCGAAGCCACUAGUUAGUCUCCUUUUACAAAACAAAAAUGGUACUUUAACAAUAGACUUGAUUGAUCUCGUACUUACUGUGCAAUUUUCAUUUGUUAAUAAUUUGAGAAAAAAAUUUGCAGUAUGAUAGUUGAUAAUGUGGAUGGACAUGCUACUCUCACAAAAGAACGUAUCCUCUUACAUUUGAGUAUCAUCUAGCUCAUGUAAGUACAACAUUCAACUCACAAGCAUGUGUAAGAGUGAUACGAUCAGCUACAUGAUCAUAUUGCCUUAUCAAAAAAAUUCUCAUGCGUUUUAAAGAUUUGUAUUAUAACUUUGGUGGAAUUGAUGGAUAUGUACUAACAUAUGCACAGUACAAAGCCAUGAUAAGAUUUUGGACAUUGUUCGUUGCAAUGUGCACCAUACACUCAUAAGUCACACUAUUUUUAAGAAUACAUGGUCAGCAGGUUCUAGAAUUGUUUUAUUAUAAUAUCGAGCAUAAGUACACUACUUUUCAGUCAAAUUGCACAAAUUAGUGAUUCGAGCAUAAACUUCAUUACUUUAUUAGUAGAUUUACAACUUCGUAAUAAACUAACCAUAGAUGGUGGUUUAGUGGUUGUGAACGAAUUUUAGGUUUGUAUUUUAUAUGGUACGUUAUGAGUUUGAUUAUUGGCGUUAGUGAAUAAUAUAAUGAUAGCCGGGAGAGUUUGAAAUGUCUAUGUAUGUCUUUCUAGCCUUCGAAAUAGUGGAUUAUCGUGGUGAAGCCACUAGCUGGUCUUUUUAAAAAAAAUUCAUGAUAAAGUGCUUGCAUAAUAUUUAAUCAAUUUUGUCUCUUGACAACUGAUAAUAUUAGUUCAAUAACAAUCGCAAAUGGGUAAUGCUAGGAAAACUAAAUUUGUAGACAAAAUUUACAAACUAAAUAAUGUUUUAUAAAUAAAAAUGAGCAGGUUUAUCAACACUUAAGUAAUAAUCCAACCAUCACUUUUCAUGUCAUUUAGUUUAUAAAAUUUUAUUUGCAAAUUUUGUCUUCCUACCAUUACCCACGCAAACACAAAUUUCCAUUCUUUAAAACGGAACUUUAUGUUUCUUAAAGUAAACCGAAAUUUCAAAAGAAUUAUUUAUAAAAUAAAAUAUAAAUAAAAAUAAAAAAAAUAAAAAAAACCCUAUAUAAUUGGAUGUGAUUUGUGAAGCUCCAUCAAAUAUGGGCCUUCCAAAAACGACAAGUCGUUAUUGGACCCCACUAUUGUAUUUUGGACCGUCCAAUGUGGCCUUCACAAACACUUUGCUUUUCUAUCCUAAGUGGAGAUUUAAUUAAUUUAACCCCAACACUAAACUUGAUUAAAACCCCUUAACCAUCAAUUCUGCAGACGCUAAUCUUCUGGUCAUCAUCAUUAGGGAGUAUUUUUGCUCACCAUCAUUUAAUAUGGUGUAUGCUCACUAUCCUAUUUAUCACCAUUAGAUAUGUUUAAAUUUCGAGAUUCGUACAGUAGAUAAGCACAAAUCUCAAAAUUCAAACUUAUAUAAUGAUGAUAAAUAAGAUGGUGAGUAUACAUCAUACUAAAUGAUGGUGAGCAAAAAUACCCCCAACACAAAACAAAAAACAUCCUUAACCAUUUAUUUACUUAUUUUUAACUGAAGAUAUUAUCUGCCGGUCAUUGUCCAUCCACGUGGCAUGGAGGAAGACCCUGAAAGCGGGACCCGCCUGCUAGUGUAGAGGGAAUACCGACGUGGAUGGUUUGUAGCUUCGCAUACGAUAGCGCGUUCUUAACAAUCACCCAACGAGAUUAUUUAUUUAUUAUUUGUAUACAUGCCUAUAUUAACUAAAUUGAGAAUAAGUUGCUCAUCUGAGUUAAAAUAUUUCUGUCGUAAUUUAGAUCAAACUUUUGCUUAAACAAAAAAUUUAGAUUAAAUUAAUUAAGGGGUAAAUUAUAAUUUGCACACUAGAAUUUAGUUGAAUUGGAACUUCACACAUCAUUCUUUUAUUUCUUUUUUAAUUUAUUGUUAUUAAGAGAAGGAUGAGGGUUUGAAACUAUUAUAAUAAUUUAAAAUUCAGAUGUGUGGAUGAAAAUCCAAUACCCUAUCCAGUAAGAUAUUAGCUGCAAUGUCAUAUAUAUAUUAAAUUAUUCAUUAAUUUGACCGUUAAUUGAUGAUAUCACAAUCCAACAUGUUUACUGCCAUAGUCAUCAAUCCUGCAACCAAUUUCAUUUUCUCCUUCCCUCCCAUUGCUUCGGUAUCUCUAUUUUCCUUCCUUCAUGUGUCAAUGAUCAAGCUGUAAUUUACCCUUUAAAAAAUUGGUAAUCCAUUUCAAGUUGAACACUGCUAUUUAUUUAUUUUAAAUAUUAGCAAUUUGAAUUAUUACUUUCAUAUUUUGUUCAGGCUAUUGUUCAUUAUCUACUUACUAAGGUUACAAUUCACUACUACUUAAAAUCUAAAAAAAUCAAUUGAUGACUUCGUCACGACAAUCAACUCUUUUGAUAACCGAAAAAACUUACAGAGGCAUUUCAACUUUCUUCUAACCACCAUUGUGUGAUUCACCAAUACUAGAAAACAAAAAUAAAAACGUGAUGCAUAGAAUAUGAACCUAAAAUUCGUCCACAACCACUUAGCAAUCAUAUCACACUAAAACAAUUGUUUUUGGUCGAAUUUCUAUCAGGCACAAAAAUAACUGGAAUUGUUUACUACUUCAUAUCGAUAAGUUAAAAAAUUGCAGCGGCCUCAUGCCUCAUAGGUGUAUUUGGUAAUUAGCUCUUAUGAUUUUACAUGAACAUAAGAAAUUGGUUUCCAAUUUAACUCGGAGAAAGUAAGGAUCAACACCUCCACACGUGUUGGCGGGAGCGUGUAUAAUGGAAGAAUUACCCCAUUGAAAUUUUCCUAUUUUUUAAUGUUUCCUGAACCUGUUGCCAUUUUUUAACAAGAACGGAUUCUAUCAAGAGCUAAGCAGCCAGAGCCUCCUCAUCAAACAAUUUGGACCGUAUAAAUUGAAUCUAACGGUUUCUAUUAAUUCAUUUUACUGGCUCACCACACACAACCGACGGCCCUGAUUUGACUUGCACAUCUAUCAGUGGCCCAUAUUGCUUGAUGAGGAGGCUCCGGCUGCUUAGCUCCAAAGAGGAUCCGAUCUCUUUUUUAACAUCACCGUCAUACAUUUUCGAGUAGAAUUCUCUCUUUUUUCAAUUUUUGUCUUUUUCCCAUCUUUCUCUUACCAUUUUUUUUCUUCCUCUACAACGGUAAUAAUUAAAUAUUUAUGUAACUUAAUCGUGAUCAUUUAAACAAAAAUAAAUUUAAAAAACAAAACAAAAAGAGAAAAUUCUACCGCAUUUGAGAGGUUAUCAUAAAGAAAUUGCGUACAAAAUGACGCCCAAAUUCAAAUGAAAUGAAUUAUUUGUUUGUGUGUGAUUUUCUGGGGAAUGCUAUAUAUCUACUAUAUAUAUACAUGUCAACCCCUCCAGUUCCCAGCUUAUGCGUAAGCCUAUAAUAUAUUGAGGGCCGAUAGAAUUGUGAAUUGGUUUCGUGGGGUCUCUCCUUUCCUCAAUUGGGUCGCCGGAAAUUCUCGAUUCCGGGACCUGAAUCCGAUUGAUUAUGACAUAUGGCGAAGGGCCGGAAACUGACGCAGAGCCGCAGCGAACGGUUGCUCGGGACCUACAGCGGCUACAGCCACGCCCAUGACUCGCCGGAGCUCGGCGAGGACGAUGUCUGGUCGAUGGUCAACAGCGUCGACGAGAGGGAGGACCACGAAACCGAGAACUCGCAGGGCGAAUGGAGCCCACACGCCUUCCCGGAGAGCACCGUUGGUAUUCAGGCGAGGAAGGGCCGCCAUAUUGCCAGAGACGACCGCAACGUGGGCGGGCUGUCAUUGGCCUUUGACGAUUCUGGCAAGACGGCGUCGUCGCCUCGGAUCGUGCACCAGUUCCGCGGACACGACAGCGUGGCGUCCCCACGUGGGCACCACAUGGCCACGUCAGCUCCGGUGAACGUGCCUGACUGGAGCAAAAUUCUCCGGGUCGACUCGGUGGACUCGCUGUAUGAAAUGGGCGACGGGUUAGAUGGCAAUGACUCGGAGAUGAUUCCCCCACACGAGUACCUGGCGCGUGAGCACACGCGCGGCGCGACGUCGGUUUUCGAAGGCGUAGGGCGAACCUUGAAGGGCCGGGACAUGAGGCGGGUCAGGGAUGCAGUGUGGAGCCGGACCGGGUUUGAUGGAUAAUUUGCGAUGGAUAGUGCUAUCCACAUAACGAUUUUUACUUCUCACACACUUCUCUCAAUUUUGGUUGUCAAAUCGAAUGAAUUGAAGAAAAUCGGUCAAUAAUCACCAAACAUGUGUGAAAAGUAAAAAUUAGUGUAUAAAUAGUACUACUUUUGUGAUAGAAACUUAAGGAGGUUUAAUUAUUAUGAAAAAUUAUUGAUUUCAGAUCUAGAGGAGUAUAAUUAUUGUUGUGAAUUGGUAAGUUUCGUUGGGCAAUGAUUCAGCUGAGUCUGAUCUAGUCGGACUUAGCUGUGAGUGAGCCCAAUUUGCCCAAAACAUUGAAUUUUUAAUGUCGGAAUUUAGACCCUUCUUGCUCUUUUUUCUAAGUAAAACAAAAUUGGUACUCUCAUUUUGCACUUCGAAGUAUUUUGUUUUCGAUAACGCUGUUUGAACACAUAAAUUAACAUACAUGUUAACAUACACUGUCCAAUAGAAAUGAAUCUCAUCGUCGUAUAUCGAGUCCACAUUUUAAAAUGCCAAUAAAUAUAUCAAUUUUGUGCAACUAAAUAACAUUACUCUAGUCUUAUGAACCUAAGUUCUCAAAAAUAGGAUAAUUACAAAAGAAGUCCUGAUUAUUUUUGUAAAUUCCUUAUUUCUUUUUCUAUCAAAACAUGUUUUCAUGAAGAAAAAAAAAUCCGACCUAAACAUGUUUAUUUUAUUCCUUGAAUUUUUUAACAUCAAUUGAGUUAAGAAGAAAUAAUAUCAUUGAGACCUUGUAAUCAUUUGACUAAAAGUUGCUCGAUCAACGUUCAACUGUUUAAGAUGCGGCCAAUUACAUAUUUGUGUAUAGAGAAUCAAAGUUUGCACCAUCUACACUUGCUAACUCACACCUAUAAACCUUUCUUAAACUCUUAACAAAAACCUAAUCUUAAGACUUAAACUAUACUUUAGUAAUUGAUAAGUGUCUCCAACACUUGUACACCUAAACUAUACUUUGUUAAUUUCAACAUCUUAUUUACCCUUUUAAAUGAAAAUUGAUUAAAAUUAGGUAUUGCUAAUCAACAUGAUUAAUUAACUUUAGAUCAAUGAAUCACAUGAUACAUUUCGACUCCUAAUAAUAACAAAUCACAUUAUAAUGAACAGAGAAAAGCUCGAUGAAUUUUCUUGGCUUUCCAAAUAGUGACACCAGCUAAUAUCUUUUUUGAAAGAAAAGAUCAAUGAUGUGUGGUUUGAUUUCAGCCACAGAUAUAUAUACACAUAUAUGUGUGUGUACACACACACACAUAUAGUUGAGCAUAAGUGUGGGCCCCACUGAUAUCCAAAGCUUAGUGUUGAAUCCAAAAAUUCGGAAGUCGAGUCACUUAUUAGGUAGUGUCGAGAUUUUAAUGGCGGGAAGACAAAGUAAAAGCAAUGGCUCUCAUUCCUUGCGAGUUGUGACUCCGUAGUUGCGUCCCUUUCUUGAAAAAGUUAUGACCCAUAUGCCUUCAUUUUAUUUUUGGAUCUAGAUUUGAUGGCUAAUAAUAUUAAUCCAAUAUCUUUACCUCCAACAAUAUUGUUACAUAUGUCGUUAUGGCCACAUGAAGUUAUAAGAAUAUUUCAUCUUUACUAGUCAGAAUUUGAGUACUUUCUGUAUCUCACAUUAGUAUAUUUCUCGUUACGUGAGAAUUCAUAAUUGAAGCCAUUGACUAAUUCAUUAGUAUUAGACUCUGAGUACAUUUCUUUUAAAGACAAAUCUAUAAUAAGGUACAAAUCAAUGGAUAGUUUGCUGAAAUACUCUUAUUAACUUAAUGUUUCUUCGUCCCAAAGUUAUAUUUGAAUGGUGUUGGAUGAAUUGUUAAUCCACAAAUUUGGUAACUAAAUUUGACAAAAAAAAAUUAAAAUUAAAAUUAGUAUCUAAGUUACUCUAAUUGAUUUUAAUUUAUUAUAUAAGGUAUCUAGCCAUAAAUUGGUGGUAAAUUGGUUUAUCCCUCCUUGCAAUUUUGAUAUCACAUGAGACGACAUCAUACUUUUGAUUUUCAUGUUAAAAGGUAAGUCGAAUCAGUUUCAAUAUCCCCCAAGAAAUGCAUAUGUAAGUUUUCAAACUUGAAUGGAGAAUUCUAAACUUUUGCUCGUUUUUCACUAGACCACUGUGGAUGCAAAUUUCUUUCUCCUUGAUCUUGGACAAAAUUUCACCUACAAAACAAUUAACACAUUUGGUUAAGGUCAAAAGCCUUACGCACCCACGAUGAAUGGGGGGGGGAAGUUUUGGCCGAAGAACCUCUGAUACCAAAGUUAGAAUUUAGAGAGAAAAUAUUUGAGAAUUUUAGAGAAUUUUAGCAAGAGACUUGGAAGUAGUUUUUGGAGAGAAUAGAGAGCUAUUUAUAUGGAUAUGGCCGGCCCUAUUAGGAGACACAUUUGGUCAAGGCCAAAAGCCUCACGCACCCACGAUGAAUGGGGGGGGGGAAGUUUUGGCCGAAGAACCUCCGAUACCAAAGUUAGAAUUUAGAGAGAAAAUAUUUGAGAAUUUUAGAGAAUUUUAGCAAGAGACUUGGAAGUAGUUUUUGGAGAGAAUAGAGAGCUAUUUAUAUGGAUAUGGACAGCCCUAUUAGGAGAAUAGGGACCGGCUAUUUGGGGUAUUUUUUGGGUGUAAUUUGUAAUUAAUUAGCCAUUAAUAUAUUAAUUAGAUAAUAAAUCCAUUAAUUGACUAAUUAACAUAAUUUAAAAGAAAUAACUUGGGAGUUAUGGAAUAAUUAUCUAAUCAAUUAGCUAAUUAAUAAAAUAAUUACCUAAUUGAUUAGCUAAAAAAAGGAAAAUGGGGUAGAGAAUAUACGGGAUGAAAUAAGUUUUGGGAGUUACCUUGUAUAAGGGAUUUGAUGAAUGAAAUAGGUUUUGAAUUGUUACCUAUUUUGGACAAUUUUGACUUGGUUGAGGAAUGAUUGCCCUCUGCUUGCGUGUAGGAAUCUCGAUAUGCCUCAGGGGUAUUUUUAUCCUCUUUUAUCCAAAAAUCCAUGUAUCGCUUUGUAAUUAUUUUUGGCUUCACAACCACCAUUUUUUUUAAAUGAAUCUGUUGGUGGCUUCGUCGCUGUAGUUUACCCUUUCAAAAACCUGAAAGACUCACAUAGAUAUUUCAACCUCCCCAAUCUAUGAUUGUGCCAUUCACAAGACAACCAUCUUGGAGUUUCCAAUUUACUUUGAUAUUGUUGAACCUCCUAUAGCAUAGGCAGACAUUAAAAUUAACUUUUGUUGAUCUUGGACCUUGUCAACCAGGUUCACUAGGGCCGUAUGUACCCAUGUCCACAAUCUAUCGCCCUCCACUAAAAAGCAUUUGGUUUUGCUCGUUGCUUGGAAUGGACCUCACCUCAUUUUUUGUCCAUAUUUUUAUAAUUUUGGACUGAUUUUAAUAUCCAUUUCCCGCAGUUAUAUUCCAUGUCCAUGUGCUUUGGUUUGUCAGGACUUUCUCUAUCGGCGGUUUGUGCUUCCUUACAUUCAGAUUUGGCUUUUUUAGGUUUUAAUUUUCAAAUCAACGUGCAUCUUGGUUUAUAGAUUUGUCACCUUUCAUGAUGUAUGUUUUUUCUUUUUUCCUAACCUAUUGUUGUUGGUGUUUUGCAACUUGUUUUGCAGGUUUAAACCUUUUAAAUUUUCUUUGGAGGAGUUUAGGCUUUACGCCCCUCCCCUCUUUCUUGUAUUUUUAUUUGUUUUCUAGAUCAAAGUACUGCUUAUUCUUUCGCCUUGUAUUAUAAGAGGUAAGAUUUAUGUCCUUACUAAUUAGGUGUAAGAUUUUGUCCCCUCAUAACUAGUGCAAUUUCUUUUUUCUAAUUCAAUAAAAUGUUCUUCGUACUUUUCUUAAAAGAAAAUGAUUUGUUAUUUUUCUUUAAAAAAAAACAGAAAAUACCAACAGUAACCCCUUAACAUUAAAAAUCUAAUUUGAGGUGCAAAAUAAAGCCCAAUGCUCAGUGGUCUUACUAAUUUGAGACAAGAGCCCUAAUGGGUUAUCUUGUAAGGCCUAUAGUGAGAAAAUCUUGGGGAAAAGCCCAAAUCAGUCAUUUAGACCGUCACCAUGUUUCUUUUCCGUAACUAUGCCACAAUUUUACCGUCUCAACUUUUGGACUACUUUUGAAUAAUGAUACGAUAUUUUAAAGUACCGAGAUUUAUAAAUAAAAUUUUAACUUGGUGUAAGAGAGGGAAUAAACACAUUGUUCUAGCUAAUUGAUUUAAUCCAUAUAUGCUUCUCUAGCAGACUUUUACGAGUAGCAAAAAUAUUUGCGAAGUCAUUGAUUUGGUUGUUUACAGAGAUCAUUUUCUAGCCCCAACCUCUCUCAAAAACAUACUCCAAAUGCCAUUUGGUUAAUCGAACUUUAAAUGCGACAAAUUCAUAUUAAAUAACCUUACAAGUCUGAUCACGUGACGCUCAUAUUAAAGAUUCAAGAAUUGAGGUCUAAGAAACUGUCACAAACCCCAUGCUAAUCAAAAUCCAAUUAGCAGUUCAUCCAUUAGUAUACAAUUUUUAUGUUUCCCAUUGAAUUUUAGUUCCAAAUUAUAUUAUCCAUCACACGUAUUUGUGAUUUUAGGUCAACUCUUAUCCAACACAUAAAACCACCUGGAAUCCACACACCUGUAUGGCUUGAGCAGGUAAAUUCCACAUGAUUCUGUCCACUUUCAAUUGACUUUUUUUGGCAUUUGGUUUUUUGUCCUGGAAUCAUGGAUGUAUUAAAAAAAAAAAAAAACUAAUGAAAAAAGUUUGAAAAUUUUGAGUUAUAACGAUAAUGAUAAAAUAAAAGGUGAUUGAUUUUUUGGUGUAAAAAUAUAAUUUUUCCUUAAAGUGAACAAUAUCAUGAGCUUUUCUUUCAAGUUCCCUUAAAAAAAAAAAAAAAAAACUUUAACGAAAAGUUUUCGUUAUUGUUCACUUUAACGAAAAGCCACAUUUUUACACUAAAAAAUCAAUUCUAUACUAUUCACUUUACCCUUUAUUUUGUCCUUAUCGUUAAAACUCAAAGUUUUCAAGCAUUUUUCAUUAGUUUUCCUUAAAAAAAAAAAAGUAGUUCUAUUCACAAAUCCAUUUUUAUUUGUCACAUUUAUUUUAAUUUUUAGUCAUUGAAUCGAAUGAAUUGAAGAAGAUCAAUGACUAAAAAUAGCAUAGGUGUGUUAAUAACAUUAUCCACAGUAUAUUGUUAAUAAAGUGAUGAGAAAUUCACUAUAUUACAAUUAAGUUCGAAUCUCGUAAACGACGAGUUCAAUACCAAUUUAUUUCUAUCACAAUUUAUUUCUAUCACAUCUUAAUGUAAUGUAUCGUUCUAUUAAUAAAAAUAAACAAGUGAUGAAAAAAAACAUUAAACAUAGCGGAACAUAAACAAAUAGAGGCAAUAAAAUACACAAGAGACGGUGAGGGGAAGAAUAAUUUAAUUUUUUUAUCGACAUCGUUGCUUACUGCUUCCUUAAGAGUUUCGUAACUCAAAUAGUUAAGGAUAAGAUUCAUGAAUUCGAGACCUUAUGUUUGUAUAAAAAAAUAUUUAUCUGUAUAUCUGAAGUUUCUUUAGUUUCUAUUCUCCUCCCUCGUUAUCACUUGCACCAGAAGACAAUUGUUUUCAUAACUUGACAUCUAAUAAACCAAAAGUUAAUAGUGACAGCACUCUAACUUAUCAAUUGUAAUAUUCUUUAAUUAUAGAAAAAAUCUGGCAUGCAAUUGGGAUAUUUAGAACGAUAUUUUAUAAUUAAGAAUUUGUCAUGUUAAUGGGUUCAAAUUAUAAUUAUGAUUAUUUUCCAAAAAAUCAAUGAUACGAUUACGAGCCUAUCACACCAAAGAAAAUACCAAGUGGGCCUAAAGCACUAAUUUGCAUGAUAAUUGGAUAUAUAGUUUAAGACAUUAGCCAUUUAAGAUAUAGUAAUUUACAAUAUGGGGCCUAAGAUUUAAUAAUUAUAUUUACUCUCACUCAUAAAAAUUUGAAAAUGACACAUAUUUACAUAGAAUUUAAACUUGGGAAUUGGAGGUCCCAAGUUCCAAUUUUUUUUUUUUUCAUGCGGAAAUUCUAAAUUUCUAUGUUCAUGAAUCUAAACAAGAGAUUUGGUGCAUGUCAAUUUAUAAAUUCUAACUGUUGUCAAAAUUUCAAGUUUAUUUUUUUCAUCCAAACAUAAUUAAAAAUUUCCAGGAAAAAUUCUAAUUUUUUGUUGAACUAGCAAGUGAAUAGUGUUAAUCGAGACCGUCCUUUUCAAUGCAAAAUUUAUAUCUUCCUUUUCUCCUUGCUCGAAGAUCCACCCUUGAAUUUUAUUUUUUAAUUCUAUAUUUAACAAGUAAAUAGUUACACUUUAAAUUUAGAGAGCGAUGGUUUAUAUGAAGAUUUUUUUUACAACAUUUGACACACCCCGACCGAGAUCAAGGCAUGCUGACCGUCACGUGAGAGUGACGUAACCAUGUGCACAAUACGGAAGCAAUAAUGAUAGGAAAUAUACGAAUAAUUAAAAACCAAAUUACUAAAGUGCAUUACUAAACAAGAAGUGAUAAGAGUUAGUUACAAAAGUAAGCACUCCUAAUCAGAGCAUAAUAAGUCUAUGUGUAGUCCAGUAUGACAAGUACUAGUUAUACAGUACCAUGAAUGUCCUACUAUUAUUUAGAUAGGUCAAAACUGCUGACGUCCUCAAGCCACCCACAUCAAGCUUACUUAAAACCAGGAGAGGCGCAAAACAGAAAACGUGAGUGGGCAAAAACAAAUGUUUUACAAAGUCAUUUCAUUUAUCAACAUAUCUAACUCCUCGCUGUAAAACAUGUAUAAUUUUUCCCAGAAUCAAGAUAUAAGCAUAUACAUAAAUAUAUAUAUAUAUAUAUAUAUAUAUAUAUAUAUAUAUAUAUAUAUAUAUAUAGAGCUUAAGGGGAGGGAUCCCCAUUUUUUGAAAAAAAUGGGGAUUAGGUGUGGGGCCCACUUCACAUCUAAUUUCAACGAUCCGAACCGUCUAUUUUGUUAGUCUCGAUUCAUAGAUCAUCCUUGCAAAAUAUUAGCUAAAUUGGAAAUGUUUAAGACAUCUAAUUGGGUUCAAGGAAAUGAACGAAUACUUUGUUAUAUAAGAAAAUAUGAAAUUUGAUAUUGAUAAUUAAAUAGGCAAAUGGUUUCGGAUUGAAUUGAAUUUUUGCAAUGAUGAUCUAUGAAUCGAGACUAACAAAAUAAACGGUUCGGAUCGUUGAAAUUAGAUGUGAAGCGGGCCCCACACCUAAUCCCCAUUUUUUUCAAAAAAUGGGGAUCCCUCCCCUUAAGCUCUCUGUAUAUAUAUAUAAUCAUAUCACUUCAAAUCAUGCUUCACUUAAUCAUAAUCAUAUGUAUGUAUAUAUAUAUAUAUAUAUAUAUAUAUAUAUAUAUAUAUAAUCAUAUCACUUCAAAUCAUGCUUCACUUAAUCAUAAUCAUAUGUAUGUCAUGCCAAGAUAUAACAGAGUAAGCAAUUCAGGUAAGAAUAAUUUCAUAGAAAUAUCACAUGUUAGCCGGAACCCCUGUAGUAGUCUGUACGGCUGAAUUCAUAACUCAAAAGUUACUCUAGCCGGAGUCACUACAAUGACCUAUACGGUAAUAUACUGCACAAGAGUCGGAACCAAACAAAAAGGUUUAUACGACAAUAAUGGGUGUAAUAUAAUCAUGCUCAAUACUAUUCUCACAUAAUAGCUGGGCGAUAAAUCGCUAGUCACUUACGAGUCGGAACCAUAAUAAAGGUCUGUAUGACAAGACUGUGCACCUAAAUUGGAUCUAAUAUGAGCAUAUGGUGCAGGAGGUGACAUAAUAAAUAGGCAUGUGCCAUAUUUAUGACUAAAUCACAAUCACCCUAAGUCCAGUUUUAUGAGCUCAACAUUAUUCAAUCACAUAUCGCAUCAUUGAUGAUUCACAUAACUAACACAAGUUACCUGAGCUUACCUGAGUGUUCACAUCACCACAAUUAUAUAUAUAAAGCAUCACAUACCAAUUCAUGUAUGAAUUAUAAACUUAUAUGCAUGGCAUUUAUGGCAUACUAUCAUUUAAACACCUAUUUCUGGGAAAAUAUCAAGUAUAUAAUAUAUACUGAAAACUAAAAGCCCACUCAUUGGUAAGUCAAAGGGUCGUAGCCCCUGAGUCGCCCUUGGAUACGCUCGUCCUCGGGAUAAGUCUCAACUAUAUGCGAAUUAACUAUAAAAACGUUAUUUUAAAGCACAUAGACAAAACUAGCUAAUAACUUCUCAUAUAUACCUCAAAUUGGGUAUAUGAAUAUACCACAGUGACCUACACAACCUCAGGAUCAUCCCUAAAUUUUUAGAUUAAUUUUUCAAUGCCCCACGCGCCGGCGAGUGCACGGCAAAACGCGCCGGCCACGCGCGGUCACAUGUAACCGAACAGCAACGGCGUUAGGAAUAUUCCGUUAAAACCCAACGGUAACCAUCCAAACUAACUGAUGGCGUUAGCAUAUUCCAUCAAAAUUGACGGAAUAUUCUUUUUUUUUUCUUCGAUGAGUCGCCGGUCGCCGGCGACUUCGUCGAUUUUUGGGUAAAACUUCUAACCGUCUAUUCUCACUCAUUUUUCAACCAUUUUCUUCGAAAUUUAAACCAAAUGAAAGCUUAGAGUGAGAAAAAUGGCGUUAUACCUAUUUGAAGCAUCAAAUAUCACGAAAUCAUGUUGGGGAAGCUUCGAAAUUCCGACCAAACCUGCAACUCGUCGUUUCUUGCAAUCCCAAUGUCCAAAUUCUUCAAACGAACUACCCCGAGCCUCCUUGGGACCUCCUAAAGCUUCCUACAAGCUUAAAAUCCCCUAAUAAUUGAAGAAUAAAAGUUGCAUGAACAAUGCAUGGAAAUCAGACAUUGUGGUUCUACGUGAAAUCGAAGGUAAUCUUACCUAUAUUUGGUACCUUUGAACUCGCGAGGACCUUAAGAACACAAUGGUACCAUUUUGUUUGAGAGGUCCUUGAUGUUUGUCCGUACAAGAAGAAAGAGAGAGAGUGUGUGUGUGAAAGGGCACGGGAGAGAACAGAGAGAAAAAGGUAUGUGUGUGUGGUCCUUACAAAGUCAACCAAACCACUUAUACACUAACCUUUAAUCCAAGUUCCAAAUUUCCAAAUUUAAACUAAGGUUAGUUCUUACUAUAACCCUAGCAUUCAAAUUGGAACCAAAACACACAACACCGCGAAACGUUCAAGGGUAAAAUUGUCAUAUCAUAUCAUCGAAAAUUAAAUAUUCGGGACGGGUUGUGACAAUAUUUCAUAGAAAUCAUUUUUCUAAGAAUAAAUUAUAGUAUAGUUGUUAAACUAGCUAGUUCUCACGAACAAAAAACAGUCACAUGCUGGUCCCUUUAGUUUUGCCCUUAUUGAUUGUCGCAUUUGAAGACAUGUUUUUCACACGUUUCUAGCGUCAACAUUUUCAACGAAUUCAUUUAUUGAUCAGCAGAACUUUAUUUGUGUUUAUAUUUGGAUUUUGGAGCAAUUUCGGAUAUCCCGACAAAUCCACCACAUCUUCAAAUUUCCGGAAAGAAAAGCAACCAAAUUUAAUUUUACUUGGUAUGGACUGCUGAAUUUCAGCUCCCCGUCAACACGCAAAUUUCAAACCUUUUCCAUGUAGACGAUGGCUAUGGUUGCACCUUCGUCAAUUACUAUCUAAUCUUGAUCUGGGUUUUCGCUUAAAUUCCUCAAAGAUCUGAUUUUUGGGUUUUCUUCGAUUCAGCGUUUCGUCGUUACCCUUUUGUUUUUCGAUUGAAAUCCGCCACAAAUAUCCCAGAAUCCUGAUCGGAAAAUGGGUUGCUGUAGCAGCAAAAAGAAUGCUCCGAAACCCGGUUCAAAUGGGUUUGGGUCAUCCCAGCCUUAUCAGCAGCAGCAAGCGGCGGCUCAGCCUCUGAAAGUCUCAUCCCAACAACCCCACUACCCACCACCACCACCACCCAGACCACAGCCCCAGCAGAGGGCACAGGCUGCACAGCCGCCGCCCCAACCAAGAGCACAGCCCCAGCAGCCAAACCCUUCUCCAGUAAAACCAGCGCCGCCGCCGAAUAGCAUUCUCGGGAAGCCCUUUGACGACAUUAAGCAGUACUACACACUCGGAAAAGAACUGGGCAGAGGCCAAUUCGGCAUCACAUACUUGUGCACUGAGAACUCCACCGGCCACAGUUACGCCUGCAAGUCGAUCCUGAAGCGAAAACUCGUGAGCAAAAACGACAGGGAAGACAUCAAGAGAGAGAUUCAGAUUAUGCAGCAUUUGUCUGGGCAGCCAAACAUUGUGGAGAUCAAGGGAGCUUAUGAGGACAAGUACUCUGUGCAUUUGGUCAUGGAGCUCUGCGCCGGUGGGGAGCUUUUCGAUCGGAUCAUAGCGCAGGGACAGUAUUCGGAGAGGGCUGCCGCUGCAAUUCUGCGUGACAUUGUGAAUGUUGUGCACAUUUGUCACUUCAUGGGCGUGCUGCACCGCGAUCUCAAGCCAGAGAAUUUCUUGCUGUCUAGCAAGGAUGCGAAGGCAAUGCUGAAGGCAACGGAUUUCGGGUUGUCUGUUUUCAUUGAGGAAGGUGAGUGCAUUGAUUUUUAUGAUCUAUGUUCAUAUUUCCUGUUACAAGUUGUAGAAUUUUGAGCUUGAGCGUUCUGAGUUUGAUUUUGUAAUUCCCUAUUUUUUGAUAUAUGCCAAAUGUGUUCUAAAAAUACCAGUAAUAGUUUACUACAAAUUGUUAUUCAUCUAGUUUAGUUGCAGAUGUUAUAAUGGCAAGAAGUUACAUUGCGAACGGAAGGUUGUGUAGUUUACUGGGAACCGAUAAUAUGAUUGUUUAUACAUUGUAGUGAAGGUUUAAGUAGUAAGAGUGGUCAGCCUGCGCCAUUUCCUACCUUAUGCGGUGUAGCUAAUCGAAUUAUGAUGUUUAUAAACUACUUUAUUCCUUUGUAAAGCUUUCCGAAAAAAUUCAUUUUUUCAUUUUAUUGCUUCAGUUAAGUAUAUAUAAUCUGAAGUUUUAAUCUAGUGGAUACAUUCUAAUGUGUAGCUAUACCUGCUUUGUCCUAAUCUCAGGAAAGGUGUACCGUGAUAUAGUCGGCAGUGCUUACUAUGUUGCUCCUGAAGUCUUGCGGCGUAGUUAUGGAAAGGAAAUAGAUAUUUGGAGUGCAGGGGUUAUUCUGUAUAUCCUACUCAGUGGUGUACCUCCAUUUUGGGCUGGUAAAUAUGAAUUCAGUGUAUUCUUGCUAAACAUUCACUGUUCUCUUAGGUUGUAGUUAUCUUAUCAUUAUAUCUCGCUCUUUAUAUUGCAGAAACUGAGAGGGGCAUAUUCAAUGCCAUAUUGGAAGGAGUAAUAGACUUUGAUAGUCAACCAUGGCCAUCAAUAUCAGACAGUGCUAAAGAUUUGGUUAGAAAGAUGCUGACACAGGACCCAAGAAAGAGAAUUACUUCUGCAGAAGUUCUUGGUAUGUUACCUCUCAAAUACUAUUUUGGAUGGAUUGAAAGUUACAAUGAAGCAACACAUGCUGUAUAAGAUAUAAUUUCCGUCGAUAAUUUCUGUUUGUAUGAUUUAUAGACCAUUCUCCUCAAAUGUGUUAUAAUCUCUUUUGAAACGACAUCUUUUUCAUUUGCCUAUGAAAUGACAUGAUAGAAAUUAGGCCUUGUGCUGGCGGUCAAGGGAUAAUCCUAUGUUUAGUUUUUUAGUAAUCUGUUGCUUCCAAAUCAACGAGCCAAAUUUAGCAGUUAAAUAGAAGCUGAAAGGAUAAAUAUACAGCAUUACAAUAACCAACUUUUAGCCACACGGCCCUUGUUACCACCAGCUCUUGUUUUAUGAGUGUGCUUUUGACUGAUAUUUAAUAUUCUGUAUGCUCAGAGCACCCGUGGCUCAGAGUAGGCGGAGUAGCAUCAGACAAGCCAAUAGAUAGUGCAGUUCUCUCUAGAAUGAAGCAAUUCAGGGCAAUGAAUAAGCUCAAGCAACUUGCUUUGAAGGUAAUUUCAGGACUUUGUUCCGAAGCUCCUAUAUUUACCUAAUAUUGGCAAAGUUUCCAGAGAAUUUCUUCUUACCAUAUUUGUCUUUUUCCCCUAAUAAUUUUUGUACAUUUUGAAAAUUUCCCCAGGUCAUAGCAGAGAAUCUAUCGGAAGAAGAAAUUAAAGGCCUUAAAACAAUGUUCACCAAUAUGGACACUGACAACAGUGGUACAAUAACUUACGAAGAACUGAAGACAGGUUUAGCGCGUAUUGGGUCGCGGCUGUCUGAAACCGAAGUUAGGCAACUCAUGGACGCUGUAAGUAACUAUCAAUUCCCCCGGAACUCAAUUAUGUUGCUUCUGGCUAUUUUUUGAUUUCCGUGUAACACAUUUCAGGCUGAUGUGGAUGGAAAUGGAUCGAUUGAUUACAUAGAAUUUAUAUCUGCGACUAUGCAUAGACAAAGAUUAGAAAGAGAUGAGCAUCUCUACAAAGCGUUCCAGUAUUUUGACAAGGAUAGCAGUGGGUGAGUUGACAAAUUUUGUGCAAUGCUUCUGUAUACAUAUGUCGUACUGGAUUUCUGUUUUUGAUCAAGUGAAAUUCAACUACUUGAUCCUACUGGGGGGAAAUAAAUAACUUUGGAUAAAUUUCUUGUUAUGAUCGUGCUAGAUGUGUGCUCAAACAACUUUCUGCUUAUUGAUUCAUAAAUUUAGUCUCAACUUGUGAACUUUUGCAAGCUGAAAUUGAUUCACCCUGUUUGUCAGGCAUAAGUAGUUACGAAUAUAUAUAUUAGCUUGUAAUAUCAUAAUUUACUAGGAAAGAAACUGUUUAUUUCUUUUUAUCAUUCAGUCAUAAAACGAAUGUUAAUGUAGUUCCUUCGUCAAUUUCCACUAACAGGUAUAUUACAAGAGACGAAUUAGAGGCUGCUAUGAAGGAGUAUGGAAUGGGUGAUGAUAACACCAUCAGAGAAAUAAUUUCUGAGGUUGAUGCUGAUAAUGUAAGUUUACUUACGACUUUCAAAUAUCUGUAACUUUUUCUCAGUCGUGUUCUGCACUGAUUUACUUUGAACCAAAUAGGACGGGAAGAUCAACUAUUCAGAAUUCUGUGCAAUGAUGAGAAGUGGGACUCAACAACCAGCAAAGCUCUUUUAAUUCCACUAACAGGCAUUUCAGAACUUACAAGCACAAGUGAAUCGUUAUGGAUUUGAGCUGCUUAAGUGAGUUUAACUGUUGGGUAGUAUGACUCGUGUGCUCGUAUCAGAGCAUUAUUUCCGGGAGGUAUGAAGUAAACCAGACUAAUCUUGAUCGAAAACGGGCAGUUUGAGCAUGUGAAGCUAGAGUUUGGUGUUUGAUUAAUUAGGCUGUGUUUCUGUGCAUCUAUUUACUUGUUAGCUUAUUUUUUUGAAGUUCUGUUCAAUCUUGUUAUGAACCUUUUCCUGAAUAUACGACGAUUUUAAUUAAUUUAAAAAGAUUUCGUUGUGAUAUAAAUGCUGAACAAAAGUACUGCCGAUGAUAGGAGUUUUGCUCUGUAUGCUAUAUUGAUAUCAAUAUUGCAUCCAACUCAACUCAACCUCUCUUUUCAUGCUAUGUUCUUUCACUGUGAUUUCUUCCACGAGGAGUUGUGUUACGGCCAGUCACCCACACGCCUUGAAUUGACCACACACUAGAAUGGUAAAAUCUCUCUAGCUUCAGUUAAGUGCUCAAUCAGUUUGGCGACGGAGAUCGAAUAUGAUUGAAGUUGAUUCCAUGCAAUUUUAUUAAAGUCUCAUUCUUUGAGACGAGACUUAAAACCCAACAUGUUAGACCAAUGUCCAAUUUAACAAGUUUAGUCCCAACAUUUAUAAGUUCACGGUAUGAUGGCUAUGAUAGUACCAAAUAUCUCAAUUCUUAAACUUCAAUUAAUCCUUUUAUUUUUGUGCACACUUUACCAGAAAAAAAAAACACAAAGUACAUAUACGAAGGAGAAGGAGUCCUUUGGAAGGACACCCACUUGACAGACACCCUUCAAUCCCAGGAAUCCCAGGAUUUUUUAUUAGAAUGUACUAUUUACUUGAAAAUUAAAAGGGCAGUAAUCAAGAGAGGUAAGUACUCAUUAUUGUAGGACUUUCCCUUCCCCACUCCAGCACUGCAGCACAGUUUCCAUACAAACCCUGAAGAAACAUUUCUUUAUUUAUAGCUACCAUUUUGGGCGCCCACAGGUUUCUAUCACAUACACCUCGUAUUUGUAGGGCAUAUCUCAUAAAAACAUAUAAUUCUUCCAAACUUAGGAUCUCUGAUACAGUGAUAAAUGCUAUUACUCAUUUGAAUUACUUACUCUUUUGCUCCUUCAGCACCAAGACGACAUUGUCAUGAGAUUAUCGGUAACACUAAAUUUUUUUAUACAAGUGAUAUUAUGAGAGCCAAACUAAAUGCAGGACUUCGAAUGCUGUGAUAAACUCUUUUAAAUUUUAAUCAACUGAGUUACAAACUCCUUGUUGCAUGAACACUAAAUUAGGAAAGAGCAAAUGAAGGUGCCCAAAUCGAAUGACAGGAUUUUUGUUUAAAAUUAGAAGGAUGGUAUCCAAGGUUUUUAGCCUUCAUAUUCCCUGACACAAAUCGCAUUUUCAAGGGGCUAAGCAUUCCCACGUGAGGUUGCAAGAUUCUAUGAUGCUGCCCACUUACGAUAUAUAUUAUGUGCACGUGUGCAGUACAACCCCAUCUUUUUUAUACAUCCACUUGGGACUCCCUAAGUCAAGACAUACCUCAAAUCAGCACUCCCUUGAUUGCUAAUUUUCAUUAACUACAAAAUUAUAGAAAUGAUUAACUUAAACACGAAGAUAAACCUGCCCCGGUUUGGAUUAGGAUUAAUUAGUACUCCACGCUAACAUGAAAUGACACAAGAACACAACACGAUACAACUCGAUUUCCAUCCUUAUGUGCGCUUGUAGAAUUUGUUCGGAUUUAGGUUAAGAGUGUAAUUAACAUAGUCUACAAACUAUGUAUUAUUUUUUAUAUGGUAAUAUAAUAUAGGAAAAGAGCAUAGGAUGCUCUCUAAUCUAGCAUUGCUGAAAAAUUAAUUAAUUAAUUCACAACUGUUUUAUAUGUUAGUACAAUUUUGUUUAUUAAUUAAUAUUAAUUCACAACUGUGAAUUGUCACCAAAUUGUGAGAUUCAAAGCUCCUUUUUUAUUUUAUAAAUAAAUAAACAAAAGGUGAGGCCUUGUUGGAUUCUUAUUAAUGAAAUUUUAUGGAUUGUAAUCAAACAAUUUUCAAAAAUGUAAACUUUCACAUAAGAAAAUAAACUGUUUUUUUUUUUUGUUUAAGAAAGGGGCUAAUGGUAUGAUAUAAGAGAAAUUACAAAAUAAUGUUGCGAGGUCGAUAGACUUCAAAAAUAUCAUACAAUAAUAACUGCUUACAAGAAGAUGAAGUUUGCUCAAAAUAGAUUGGACACAAAGCGUGAGAGAAGCUCAGUAACUCAUCAGCAACACAAUUUAUCUCAAGAUAAAUAUGCCGAAUAUUAUAUUCCCAAUCAUGCAAUAACAUCACACGAUAAUCAUUUUGGCAAAGAAAAAUGAUCUCCACACUGCUCUUUUCUUUUGUAUAUGUGCUUGUUUAUGUUAUUUGGGUUUUCUUUGAUUUAUUCGGUCUAAACCCUACAUAAAGAAGAAAAUGGAUGUGCGAGAAUCGCUUUAAUACUGAAGUCCAACGAGAGGGAGAGAGAGAGAGAUGUGCACGUGCAGUUGCAUGUCUGCCCCCUCGCCAGUCGCCGCUCUACUUUUCCAAUUUAGAAAACUGAAACAAAAACCAAGCACAAAAAUAGCCCUAAUCUUGCUUAAAUAUGUUAAACUUAAAUAUGUUAAACUUUAUCUCAAGAUUUUCUUCCGGCAGGACGCAUUUUCUCUGAGAAUUCUUUAGAUGGUAUUUUCCAUUUAAUAUGAUAUUCUUACUGGUGUUCAAAGAUUAUUACAUAUUUCAUCAUAUUGGUGUUCGUCCUAAUCAAUGAUGGAGCUUCACUCUUGUGCCCCUCUGGUCAAUUCUUCUGCACUGUGCGUUAUAGAGGAAGGGAUGAGAGGAGAGAGUGUCAAUGUCGUUGUUGCUGAGGUUUCGGCCGAACUCGAGAGGGAGCGAAAGAAGAAUGCAGAGCUCAUGGAGAGGAUACUAUUUCUUGAAGCUCAAUUAAAAGAACGAGAGGCUAAGCAGCCUCCUCAUCCAGCAGAUGGACAAGUAAGACCUUGACUUUUUUGGUAGCUUCUUUGCUUUUCAACGAAUAGCGUUGUAGCGAUGUUUGAGACCGCUCUGAAAACGGCUAAAAGCACUUUUUUUUACAACUAAAAGCACUUACGGUUUUGAAUGAUCAUGUUUAUGCCAACCUCUUAACAUUUGACUUCAGGGAAGUUCUUUGAAUGCAAUGAUAAGAAGCUUCAAGAAGUUCAAGCGACAGAAGACAGAACUAGAUAACAAUGGAAUCGAAGAUGGAAAUGUUAUCCCAACCGAAAUGGAUUCGAAGAAGAAGCAUCGCACGCAAUGCUUGGCUCUUAAAGAUCAAAUUCUGGAAGACCGUCUAGUCAACUGGAUGAGCAUGGAGGAAACUCAGUUUUUGCAUCUAGAAAAAGGAGAUGGCGGCGAUUCAGCUGACUGCGAUGACUCUGAUGAUAGCGAUGACGAAGAUGAUGAUUACCGUGAAGAGAAUUGUGUUAAUAAUGACUGUAAAGAAGGGGAAGUAGCUGAUAAUGUUUCGAGAAUUUGUAGUGAGCUGAAAUGUGAAGUUGUUGAUAAGGGAUUGGACGCGCAAUGUGAGAACGUUUUCACAGGUGGGAACGAGCCAGUGAUUUCAAAUGCAAACCAAGAAACGAAUGAACCACCUGAUACAGGACCAGUUUGUGAUGAGAUGCAACUUCGAACCCAAAACAAGAAAAAACCUAGUGAUUUUGGAAGUUACAAGGUGCCAUCUGAUACCCUUAAUUUCAAGGAGUUUAUUCGUGCAGGAUCUGCAAGCACAUCGCAACAGAAAAAACCUCCGAAGGUGGCAUUCUGCCCGAAAGAAGUGAAGAGAAUAAUUGAUUCAGAAGCCCUGCUGCAGAAAAAUGCUCAAUCCCACACAAUAAGAAAGAUCAUAGUUUUUGCAUCAAUUGGAAUAAGGCAUGGUUGCGAAGAUAUCUACGAAUUAGACAUCAAUCAUUUUAGCAUUUUAAGGAAGGGAGAGCCAUACAUGUCUACGAAAGAUCCCGGGGUAAGGAAGUUAGUAUUAGGAUAAGUUUUGCAUUUAAAUAAGUUUUCGAUCUUAAUCUUUCUUUGUUCAUCAGCAAAAAAGCAAUUUAAUUUUUGUUCCUUACCAGGAGCAUGUUCUGUAUGAGAAUCCUGGUGUUCGGAGGAAGGUAUUUUACCCGAAUCAACAGAAUCCGACAUUAUGUCCUGUUAAAAUACUCGAAGAAGAGAAGGCUAUGCGACCAUCGGAUUCUAGCUGCCCAUCAUGGCUAUUUCUCUGCAUAAAGUAUGGCGGAAGAACACGAAAUCUUCCCCAAAAUGAGUAAGUAUUAUUGGAGAAAUUAACUUUUAAUUUACCGAGGUUUGCAGCUUAAUUUAAAAUUCUAUCUGCAUAAAUGUGUUUCAGAUAUGUUAGGCAGCGUAUGGGAAGAAACAAGCUGAAGUCUUUCGGGCCACUAAUGUGUCGAAUGGCAAUGCUAGUUCAUGUUCGCAGUGGGAGCUUCUUCUUCAAGGCCUUGGGCAUCACUCUUCUUUUCAUGGCUGGUUUUCCUGAUGAUCUUGUUCAACAAGAAACUAAAUACCAGAGCUUAGACUUGCUUCAGAAAUAUUAUAGGUAUUUCAAUCUAAUAUACUAGUAGGAAAUGAAUAUUUCUGAAAAAAAGCUAUUCGGAUAGUUUUGUACCUCAAUGUAAUCUCUAAUAUAAUUGAAGCACGACAUGUUUUUCCUUGUAGGACGGAUGAGGAUGCUGAAGGGGAGGAGUUAUUUCUUCCACAUCCUAUGACUAGUGACACUGUAAGAUCAACUUCCCAGUUCAUAAAUCUGAGCACAUCCUAGUUUCGAUUUAACUUCCCAGUUCAUAUAUCUGAGCACUUCCUAGUUUCGAUUUAACAUUGACAAAUAAAUUCGAGUUUCUGAAGACUGAUCUUGUUUUCUCUCAGCAGGCCAGUCCAAGUUCUCAGCAGUUCGGUGGAAAAUCUUGUUCAACAAAAACAAAGGAGAAAAAACCACCUCACUCGAAUAGCAAGCCUCGCAAUAUACAGAUAUCUCCAUUCCCACGGACUACACUUCUGAGCUCUGCGCCUUCUACACAAUUUGGACUGGUAGGCCAUCAGACUUCUAUUCUUCACACUCAAGCAAUGGCAACAUUAUCGUCUCAUACGCCAUUAGAUGCUCAACCAAUCUCAAACGCUGUAAUUGCGAAUGCUGGUACGAAUAUCUCAUACUCUAGUCAAACACCGUAUCACAUUUUUCCCCCACAACCAGCUAACACCUUUGUGCCUAUGGUAUAUUGGCCUCCCCCAAACACAUUUUCUCCCGGACCCUAUCAAUCUACAUAUGGCUACCAGUCUUUCCCUUCUACCGGAAACUACUUCAUUCAUCCACAGCCCUAUUACAACAAUCCAUCUUGCAGUCCCUUGAACCCCAAAAUGGUGGAAGCAGCAGGAAAAAAUGGUGCAGCCUCGGAGGAAGCUGAUAGUGGCUACAAUUGCAGUUCAAGCAGUAUUGAACCAAAGAAGAAUUAGAAUAUCUGUCUUCCUUGUAAUUAUCAUAACUUCCUUAUUCUUAAUAAAGGCUUUGUUCAAUUCCGCUAUCUUGUACUCAAUGUAAGAAAAUGAGCCUCUUUUCGGUUUUCAUGGCAGAUCUUGUCAUCAUUUUAACUCCGAAAAUCCAGAACAGAACAACCAAGCACCAAGAUUUUAUGCAGGACAGGCUUACGAGGCAGCAAGUUCUAAAUGACGCCGCUGCCUCAUUAGCCUGCCCUGCAACCAUGAACCAAUACUCUGCGAUUACCCAAGUAUCAUCAAGAUUCUUACAAUCCUUCUACGAGGCAUGCCGAUCGAAGUCAGAUAUCUUUCUCUUUCACUUGGGAAAUCACACAUCUUUGAAAAAAAAAAUCCAAAUCUGCAUGAAUUAAUCAGUGCAUUUCCACCCAGUAACAAUAACAUUUUCAACUCAAAAGUUUCAUUUGCACAAUUACAUGUCAAUUCAUAACCACGAUGCCCUCGGACCCUAUCGCAACCUGGUAGCCUUAGUCAGCUGACUCACCGAAAUCAAAUUCCGCUUCAAACCCGGGACGUGCAUCACAUUGUGCAGCAUCCACGGAGCCCCACUCAGUAACUUGACAAGCACGUCACCUCUCCCAACAAUGUCCAAUGCCGCAAGGCCGGGUACACCUUUCCGUAGUUUCCGGCGGUGUACUUCUCCCUGAUUCCCUUGUGCGGCGAGCAGUGGAAGGCGACGCCGGGGGUGGUGAUCCCCGACUCCAGGGGGGAAUCGACGGUAAAAAACAAUGCUUCGUUGAUCACUUCGAUGGUGUUGGCGGCCCAACGGUGUGCUUCUUGGGCCUGAAACUCUGCCUGACGUGUCCUCAUUGGCCGCAGUGUAGGCAGGCGUCCGCCCAUUUUCCCAGACCCGAAUCCAUAGCAGGAGUCCUGGAUUUUCUCUCUCGGGAAGAAGAAACCUUAACAGCUAAUUGAUCGGGGCAUUUUUCGUUGGCCAUGACACCAAAACUUACUAGGAGUAGCAAAUGUGGAUGAGCAGUAGGGGAGAUUUUUCAGGAAUAUAGCUUGGUAUAUACUAAAUGUAAUAAUACAAUUUGUUGGAAAUUUCUGGUAUACCCAAUGUAAUAAUACAAUUGGUUGGAAAUAUGAAAAAAAAAUUUCAACCAAUUGUAUUAUGAUAUUUGGUGAACCGAGUCGUUUUCCAACAUACUGAAAAAUUUCUCAAGAAAUAGUGUAUGAGAACGCAAGAAACUUCGAUAAAUAUACUUAUUAGGACACGACAUGUGAGACAUGUGUAUAAAUUAUAGAGUCAAGUGAGACUAAAAUACAUAAGAGUCUCAUGCUUUUGUAAAAUGUGCUCCUAAAUGACGUGUUAUAUGGACCCAACUCCACAUCCAUAUCCCCAAGUUUUUCUCAUCUAAGAGAACCACCUUAGCUUAUGACAUGUGUAGCAAUCUCUCUCUAGGAUUCACAUCUAAAGGCAUUGGAUCCAAUGCCAUUUGUGGCCAUGUGAGCUUUUCUUAUGCAAUUCCUUCCUUUUUCUCUCUUAAUUUGCUUGUCUUGGUAUUUUCUAAUUAUCUAAUAUCAAUUAUGGAAACUUUUGGAACACUCCUCUAAUGGUUUAAUUAAUUAUUGCUUCUAAAGUUCAGUUCUUUAUUCUCUUUACUGUCUGAGUACCCAACUCACCAACCGGUAUUUAAUUAGUGCAUUUAUCCGCUUGAUUAUGUACUAAUCAGAAUCAUAUCCUUUCUUUCUCUUUACUUUCCACUUUAGUUUUAGUUACUUGAUGCAUUGAUCAUUGACUAAUUAUAAUCCACCACUACUUGGUAAGAGCUUUUUUUUUUUUUUUUUUUUUUUUUUUUUUUUGUAAUUUAUAACAAGGAGAAGAUUAACUACAAUCUGACGAGAAGAAGAUUAAACCCGUGAUUUAAGGAGUUGAAGAAAAAAUACGGUAAUCACUAAGGUAAUCCAUCACUUAUACACAACAAAACACUAGUCAAGCAUAACUACACACCAGGCAGCCUUCUCGGUUCUAAUAACUAUAAUUAGUUUCACAACAUCGGCAUGAUAUGCAAAAGAAGCUUAAUUUGCAAGCAUAUAGCAUACAUAACCAUCAUCGUUGAAAUCCAUACAUCAGCAUACAUGUUCAAAGUUCAAAUCAUCCAUCCAUACAUACACACAUCCCGACAUAUCCACCAUGCCCAUCUCACCCAAAGAGAAGAAGCCAAAAGAUAAAAUCGAAACCCUAAAUCAGACACAGUGCAUCAUGAACAAGGGCCACAUGAACAACUGACCACAUGCAUGCCUUUUAACCCUAGCACUGACCAACUUCCAUAAAAACAAAACAUACAUAUUGGUUAAAAAAAAACCCUUUUAUUAUCCAGCAACUUGCCCCACACACA